RNAcentral lists this long non-coding RNA (59995 nucleotides) under Citrus maxima (pomelo). RNAcentral's name for it is "long non-coding RNA (CMAX_LNC003335)". Lineage: Eukaryota; Viridiplantae; Streptophyta; Magnoliopsida; Sapindales; Rutaceae. The record is from RNAcentral.
AAGCACUUCGAGUUCUUGCCUGAUGUUUCAAUUUACGACAACGGUAUUAAGCCAACCAAACAAAAGUUCUUCGCCAAGGACUUCGAGCUCAUGCCUGAUGUUUCUAUUUAUGACAAUGGUGUAAAGCUAGCCAAACAAAGGUUCUCCGCCAAGGACUUCGAACUCAUACCUGAUAUUUCAAUUUAUAACAAUGGUGUAGAGCUAGCCAAACAGAAGGCAUUCGCCAAAGGCUUCGAGCUCAUGCCUGAUGUUUCAAUUUAUGACAAUGAUAUUAAACCAACGAAGAAGAGUUCAUAUGCCAAGGACUUUGAGCUGAAGGCUGAUAUUUCAAUUCAUGAACCGACCGAACAAAAAUAGGUAAUUAGCAUUACGGAUCUGCAGCCAGAUGCUACAAUUUAUCAUAAUUAAAUAGAUGAUCAUGCUUGUAAUCAGGCGCAGGAUGGAGUCUCUUACCAUAUUUAAUGUUCUAGAAGAGUAGCCACAUACGUGCAAUAACGCUUUCCUUGUUUGUGUGUGUUGUCAAAAGCGCUGUUUCUAAAGUAAUGUAAUAAGUGCUGAAAUAACCCAUGCAAUAAAAUCAUGUCAUGCGUCUUUAAUUUUUUUUUUCUCUCUCUCUUAAACAAUCUUAUGAUAGAUUAUUUACAAGUUAUAAUUUAUAAAGAGAGAAACUAUAUUAAAAUAAUGCUUUUUACAUAAAUAUUCUAUCCAUUAAUCUCGUAUAGCUAAUUAAGUUUGUUUUUUUUUUUUUUAUUUACAACGACAUCCUUAGAUGUUUAAAUUGUUUUUUUUUUAAAGGUAAAAGGGUUGGGUCAAUCAAAAUUAAUUUUUUCACCCUGAUCUCUUUGAGAUUCGAACUUAGGUGGCUAGCUAACUAAGAUUAUUUGAAACCAUUCGGUUGGGUUUCUAGGGGCCUUGGAUGUUUAAAAUUUGUAUUUUGAAUUGUUAUUCAGAUGGAACAAUAUAAUUAACUUUAAUUUCAAAGUCAAUUUGACCCUAUUUAAUUUUGAGAUGCUGUUACUUUUAAACUAGCUACUUGGGAAAAAAAAAAGUCGUAACCUUAAAAUAAAAAGUGAUACUGUGUGGAAAAUAUGAUUUUAAAUAAUAAUUUUGACAAAAUAGCAAAGAAAUAUUAUUUAAAUUAUUAUUACCAGCCAAACAAAAAUAGGUUUUUUAUUAUACAAAUGCAAGAUCAAAUCAACUUAAUUUUUGAGUUACAACAACUACUACUUACUAAACACUUUGAUGUCAAUACCAAAUAGGCCUCUUUUUUCCUCUCCCUCUCUAAUUUGUAAGACUACCCAACCAUAUAUUGUAUAAUAUUCAAUUAUUAUAUUAACUAGUUUUAUUUUCUUAUGAUCACAUGAUAUCUUUUUUUUUUCAAGAAUCUGAACAGAUAAUGGUUUUAAAGCUCAGAAGUAGAUCUGAUUCUAAAUAUUUGGAAAUUGAAAAAAAAAAAAAACUAAUUCACAUUUGCAGAAGAAGGUAUGUACUUGAUAACUUGAACGCCAUGAUGGUAUAUAAUUAAAUUUAACUAUUGUUAUAUUUUUAUUUAUUAAUCACUAAUUAUUCACGAUGAAUUUUAUUUGAAUAAGUUCAUAUCAUGAUAGAAUCUUAAUUCAAAUACAUAUGAAAAAAAAAAUCUAUGACUGCACUAAUAAGAUAUUUCAUUUAAUCAUGUGAUAUUAAAAUGAAAAUUAUGAUAGAUAAACUUAAAUUUUCCAUUUUCCCCCCUUUAUCAUCUCACAUGGGCCACUUCAAUUCGCUGAAAUCCUGAUGCUUCGGCCUCCAGAUGUAAAAGAACAUGAGUCACAUAUAGUAUUGGUAGAUGCGUGAAUGGAUCACAUCUCACUCAACCAACAAAUUGCAUGUCAUCUGGAAAAUGAUUUAAAUAAAUGAACAAAUACUCAGUCCUCUAUUUUAAGUUAAGUAUUUGUUUAUUCCUUAUAUUUUAAAAAUAUCUCAAAAUAAGUUGUAGUUAAAUAUAUUACAUUCUUAAUCUUGUUUUUGCUUUGCUUUUAUAAUAAUGCCCUUAUAAUAAUAUUCUUGACAUUAAUUAAUUUAUCUAUAAAAUUUUAAUUAGAAAAUUAACCAAUAAUUAUUUAGUAAUAAAUUAACCAAUAAAUAUUAGUACAAAAGAACUAAUAUUUUUUGUACAUGUGCGACAAUCGUGCUAAUAAUUUAUUUAUAAAUAAAAUUAAUAUUAGUCAACUUAAAGUAAUGCUUAUCAUCCUUGCAAUAAUUUUACUAAUAAUUAUUUUAUAAAAAAUUAAUUUACCAAAUUAAUCCUAAAAGUAAAAUAAUAACAUAAAAAAAAAUUACUGUAAAAAUUUUUAUGCUACUUUGAAGGCUAAUUUGAUAAAGAAUGGAACUACUAGCACUCCUUCAAAAUCUUUUUAAGACCCCUUUUUAAAUACACCCAAUCAAAUAAAUGAAAAAUUAUAUCACUUCUAAAAACAACCAUCUUUAUUCCACAAUUGUCCUUCAAUCUUAUCUCUCAUAAAAUGAUAAAAUUACAAAAAUAAAAAUCUUUUUGUGGAUACUAUUGCAAUAAUGAUCAUUAGCAUUCUUCACAAAUUUGAUUAACAAGUAUGGAAUGGUAUGUAACUUUAGAUUUCUAAAUUUUAACUUUUCUUUAUGUUUUGCAACAAAUAUACCUUCUAUUUUAAUAUAUGAUACCUAUUAAUUUAAUUUUUUUCAAAUAACAAAACUCACUUGUUCAAACAAACAAUGAGACCAAAAAAAGCAAGGGAAAAAAAGUGAACAAAUAAAAGGUAGAACUACUUGACACAUAAAAACUUUAAAAAAAAAUGAAAAAGAAGAGAUCUAGUAAAAGAAGUAUGAGUAUAAAAUAAGCCAGGCAAUGAAAGAAUCAUAGCUUUUCGACAAAUUCCAUGUCAAUGUCCUUUUGGAAUAAAUUUUUAAUGUUAUCUAUUUGAAUAAUGAUGGUGGUUGAGUUUCCACUUUCCAUUAUGCUCUCGAAUGUAAGCUUCUGAUGCGUCUUCUAAAAUAAUUCUAGAUAUUUUAUUUUAAAUUUAUUUGAAUUUGUAAGUUACCCUUUUAAUUGCGGUUAUCAUGUAAACAAUUGUUGCCAAAUCAUAAACAAAAUCCUGAGUAGGGACGAUAAUGGGACGGUUUUGAUCGAUGAUCCACUUAAUCUAAAUCUAAAUUUAUCAUAUUUGGAUCAGUAUAAAAUGAAUUUGGAGUGGGUACAUAUGAAUCUAGAUGAGUAAAUUCAAAACAAAUUUAAAGCACGUAUACAAAUCUAACUUAAAAUUCGGAUCCGUAUCCAUAUCUAAUUAGAAAUCUUUUAAUUUUAUUUUAUUUUUAAAAGUAUUAAACUAUCGAUGGUUUAAUACUUUUACAAUCAAAUUAAACUUAUACCUAGCUUACUGAAAUCAAUACCACAUUUAUGAGAUGCAAUAUAUUAUCAGUUUUAUAUGAAAUUCAAAGUAUUAUUUUUAAUUUUAUUUAAGAUGAAUUAUGUGUUUUAGUUGAUAGUAAGACGUUUUUUUCUCAAAUAUUUUUGUGCUCUUAUUAUUCUUAUGAGGCUUGAAAGUUUAAUAAGAUAAAUUUAUUAAUAUUCUAUUAUAAUAUAUAAAAUUUUAAAAUUAAAAUUGAUAAAUCCAAGAUAGAUUUGGAGCAAAUCCGAACCUUUAUUUUAAAUUUGAACUUAAAUAUACAGUAAAAAUCAUAAAUCUAUAAUGAAUUUAGAGUAAAUACAAAUCUCAAUUUUUAUUAUUAAUCAAGAAUUAGAACAGAAUAGAUCCAGCUGAUAUAUAUGUCCCAUUGUCAUCCCUGUGACUGAUGAAAAGAUAUAGGAAAAUAAACAGGAGUUUAAUAAGCUAGACAAUAAAAGAAUCAUAUAUAGCAAUGAUUGAUUCUUUCUUCCUAUCCUUAUGAAAUCUUUCUCAAUGUCUUUUCUACGAAAUCUUUUUUAAUGUCCUUUUCGAAAAUAUCACCCUUCAGCCAAUGACUUUGAGCUGAAGGCUGGUAUUUCAAUUCAUGAACCAACCGAACAAAAAUCGUUUGUCAACAAUAUGGAUCAGCAGCCAGAAGCUACAAUUUAUCAUUAUUAAAUAGGUGAUCAUGCUUGCAACCAGGCGCAGGACAGAGUCUCUGACCAUAUUUAAAUGUUGUAGAAGCGUAGCCAUAUAUAUGAAACGUUUCACUUUGUUUUCGUAUGUUAUCAAAGGCUCAGUUUUAAAAGUAAUAUUGUAAUAAGUAUUGAAGUGUCCCAUGCAAUAAAAUCGAAGUGUCCCAUGCAACAAAAUCAUGUCAUGCGUCUUAAAUUUAUUUUGCCCUCUUAUUUAUCCUAGAUGGUAAAUACUGUUAUGAUAGAUUAUUCAAAAGGUUAUAAGGGGAGAAGAUAAGUUUAUUUUUUUUUGGGGAAAAACAUUUCCUUGCUGAAAAAAGCAAAAAUUUACAUAAGUACUGCAAUGUCUGUGGGCGGCUCUUCCAACUGAAUAAGAUCGUUAAUCAAAGAGAGUGCUAAUUUUGCUAACUGAUAAGAAACUGUAUUACAAUUUCUAAUUUCUGAAAUGAUCCAUUCAAUCUCCUUUCUACUUGAUAAAACGCCCGUAAUUAGAUGGACAAGAUUUACUGAAUCAAAUUCCACAAUAAAAAGAGUUAAGCAUAAAUCUAUCGCCGGCUUGAUGCCUUCUAGGAUAGCUUCAGCCUCUGCAAACUCGAUGUCGCUAAGAAAAGAUUUCUUGUGGCUGAGCCAGCUAUAAAAUCUCCCUUGAAAUUUCCUAUAAUUGCACCCAAACCUGUAAUUCCAUUGGAGAUGUCAAUCGGUGCAUCAACGUUCAAGUUGUACCAAUGAUUAUCCGGUGGAAUCCAACUAACACCCUUCUUGGUUGGAGGGACUAGAAACUCUUGAAUUGGAGAGCCUUGAGCAGCAGUGUACGAAUUCAAAACAGCUUCAGCCUUGCAAAGAACACUCUUUGGGUCCAUCUUUUGAUUCUGAUAGAGCGCUAUGUUCCUAGAAUGCCAAAUAGACCAUGUAAUCAUCCCAAACGAUGGGUAGUCCUCUUUUGACAGCCAAGAUUCCAAAUUCUUUGCAAAGAGAGCAAAAUCCAUAUGAGGGUUAUUCGUUACAUAAGCAGCCAAAGUUGACAACUUCCACACCUUGAUCGCAAACUUAUAGCCAACUAACUCAUGAAAGGUACCCUCAAUAGCACUAAAACAUCGAUGACAAUUUGGAGAAUCCACUACUUUUCAUUUCAAAAGAUUAUUUGAUGUAGAGAGUAUAUUACGUAGAGCUCUCCAAAAAAAAGAUCGACUUUAGAUGGAAUGGAUAAAAGCCAAGCGGGAUACCCCAAUUAGCAUAGCCAAAUGAACUUAGAGGGGGAAUUAGGAUAAGUAAGACUAAGGGCCACUUGUAACCACUCUUAAAAGUUUACAAAUUUAUUUUGUACAAACUGAUUUGACAUUAACUUAUUGAUUAAAUAAAAAUACAACAACAUGUUUUUAUAUUUAAAAUAUAUAUAUUCACAUAUACGAAGGUAUAUACUUGAACAAUAUGAGUAAUACAUGUGAAUUAAAAUCAUCUCCUAAUCUAAGCUCCAUUAAUUAAUUUUAAAAAAAACUUGUCACAUGUUUUUAGUAUAGUGUAUAAUUAUUGUUAUGUUUUUAUUUAUUAAUUUCCAAUUACCUGCUAUAUAUCUUACUCAACAAUGUUUUGAUCAUGAGAGAAUUUUAAUUCAAAUACAUAUGAAAAAAAAAAGAAGAAGAAAUCUGAGACCAUACUAAUAAGAGAUUUCCUUUCAUGUGAUUUUAAGAUCAAAAUUAUGAUAGUAUGCAAACUUGGUUGCGUUUAGUAUUGUUCUUUAAACGAUGUUUUUGUAUUUAUUUUAUAAUAUAGAUAUGAUUAAUAUUUGAUGAAUUUGAAAUUUUGUUUGGUAUAUAGUAUAUAGUAUGAAUUUGACCACUAAAUACUUAAUAAUUAUAUUUAUAUACAAAAUUAAAAAAAAAUAAGGAUUUCUCUACCUUACGUUUAAUGUAAGGUACAUCCCCUUACAAAUUGAGCUAUAAGUCCCACUUGAGCCCACAGCCAAUAGAGAGGUUGUACCUUACAUUAAAUGUAAGUAGAGAUGGCCAAUGGGUCGGGCGGCACAAGGCACAGCACGUGUCCGUACAACAUGGCACGACACGAGCACGUUUCGGUAGGGCACGAAGCACGGCACGGCACGCAAAAAGGCACGUAAUAAGCACGCUUCAUUGAUAGGCUAAGCACGUAGCCCGUGGGCCAAAGUAUAUCAAAAUAAAAAAUUUUAAUGAAAAAUAAAUAUAAAAUAUCAUGAUUUUAUAAAUAUCUUGAAAUUAAAUUUUUUAAUAUAUUUUUUUAGCAUAGGUUUUUUAAAAUUAAUUUAAGUCCUAGUUUAAAUAAAUAUUCUAAUUUUUUAUGUUUAUAAUUUAUUAAAUGGAUAAAUAAAUAUCAUGAUUUUAUAAAUGAUAAAUGAAAAAUUUUACGACAUUAAUAUUUCAUUUAUGAAAUCAUAACUUAGUUAAUAGUUAAUGGAGAUAUGUUUCAUUUGUGAAUGAAAUAUUUUUCAUAUUUAUGCACAAAAAAAUAAAAUUAUGAACAAAAUAUUUUUAUGAUAAAUUAAAAAUUACAUUUUCAUUCAAUGGAGUUUAUGUGCAAUUAUAAUAUUAGUAGCUCAAAUAAAAUUAGAUGUAAUUGUUAUUCUAGAAUUGUAAUUUUAUUUUCAUUAAUUAUUACUAUGAUCUAUGAAAUUAUUAUUAUUAUUGUCGUUGUUGUUGUUGUUAUUAUUAUUAUUAUUAGGCUGGUAGGGUUAAAAAAGCACGCCAGGCACGUGGACUUUUUUAGGCAUACUGGACAUGUGGACAAAGAAAAAAGGUUGGUGGGCUUUUUUUGGGCACGGCCCACGGCACGAGUUUGGACAUGUGGACAAAAAAAAAGUUGGUAUGGGUUUUUUUUAGCACGAACCACGGCACGGUACGGCACGAGUGGGCUCGUGCCGUGGGCCGUGCCGGCUCACGAGCCCGCGUGGGCUGACAUUUUGUGGGCCGUGCCGUGCUGGCCAUCAUUAAAUGUAAGGUAACAGCUCCCAAAAAAUAAAUGAAAGAGAGAGGCAACAUAGCAUAAUACGGGGCCGGACCCACAUCUUCAUAAAACUAUGUCAUAAAAGCAGUGGUAGUUCCUAUGAACAAAGUGAAGAAUAAAGAUUUGAUGCUGUCUAAUUAUCUUCGUUAACAUUGUAAAAUAGAUAUGGUUUGCUUUCAUAAUAAUAAAAAAUGUUACUGUUACUGAGGCUUAUCAAACAUUUUUUUUCUAUUCUUAUAAAAUAGAAAAUGAGUGAUGAAAAACAAUACCAUACAGCCCAAAUUUUUUUCCAUUUUUACCCCUUUAAUCAUAGCCUAUCGGCCUCUCCAAUUAGUUGAAAUCUUGAUGAUUCGACCACAAGUUGUAAGAGAAAUUCUAGAAUAUAUCUAUUGUAUUAUAACUAAUUAAUGCAUGCACGACAUGCGUAAUUGAGUUUAAUACAACCACCACUUGCAUGAUAGUUUACAAAAUAAAUGCACACAUGUCAUGAUAUUAUUUGCUUGUUGUAUGGGUGACAUAGUACAACAGAUGUAUUCUAGAAUUUCUCCAAGUUGUAAAAUACCAUUUGAGUCACAUAUAUUAUUGGUAGAUGAGUAGAUCGCAUCUCCCUCAACCAACGAAUUGCAUGUCAAUGUGAAAAUUGAUUUAACUGUUUAGUCUGUUUUUCAAUGAGACGUAUUUCGUUCAAACUUUUACCUUCAAUCAAUGGGACCGAAGAAAGUAGGAAAAAAAAAAUUAAACAAAUAAAAGGUAGAACUAGUUGACAGACAAAAUUUUAUCAACAUUUUGAAACAACCAACAUUAAAAAGAAAUAAAAAAAUAAAAGAAGAGAUCUAGUAAAAGAAACAUGAGUUUAAUAAUUAAGCUAGAAAAGGAAAGAAUCUUAGUAAGCUUUUCAACAAGAUCCUUUUCAAUGUCCUUUUCGACAAAAUCUUUAUUGUCAAUAUAUUGAAAAAUGAUGGUGGUUGAGUUGUCACUAUGUAUCUCGAAUUUAAGCUUCUGAUACGGUCUUUUAAAAAUAAUUCUGGAUAUUUUAUUUUAAAUGGUAACUUUUAAUAGUGGUUAACUUGUAAACAAUUGUUGCCAAAUCAUAAACAAAAUCUUAUUGUCUCACGGAAAGAUACUGGAAAAUAAUCAUGAGUUUAAUAAGCUAGACAAUGAAAGAAUAAUAUAUACAUGUUAUAUAGUAACGAUUGAUUAUUUCUUCUUACCGCUAAGAAAUCUUUUUCUAUGCCUUUUUCGACAAAAUCUUUAAUGUUAUAUAUUGAAUAAUGAUGGUGAUUAAGUUUCCAUUAUGCAUCUCUCAUGUAAGCCUCAGUCCCUAGAAUUAACUAGCUCUCAGGAUUCCUGCAUCAGUUAACUACAGCUUCCAGGUUUAUCAAUAAUUAUGGUACACCAUCCUCCAAUAUCUGUGCAUAUAUAAUUUUUUAAACAGGAAUUUUGGAGUUUGGAUCAUAUUAAAAUAAAGGAUAAAUUAAAAAAUAAGACAAACACAUACUCUAACAUAUUUUAUUUUAUCAUGUAAUAUAUUGAAUUUCAUAUUUUUCUGUCUUUUUAGCUUGUUAUAACGAUCCUUUAUAAGAAAUUAAAUGUAUCUUGAUUCUCUCCCACACUAACUUUAGAAGAGAAAAUUAUUUAAUUUGCUUUAUUCUUUUACUACUACUGCGUCAAAAUAACCAACAAUUGACGACAACAAUUAUUGAAUAUGUAACAAAUUUACAUACAUUUUGACGACAUCUUUACUUGUUUGUGUUGGCAUCCUUAUUGGCAAAUUACAACAUCGUUCAGUCUUCUUAUAAUUAAGCAAUUGUCUAUGUAACAUAAAUUAUGUAUUAAGAACAUCAAUAUGGCGUGGAGCAUUGCGCAUAGAAGAGAAGAAGUAAAGUCUUAGGCGUCUACUCCAUGUGGGAAACAUGGGAUUAUCACAAAGAGAGAUUUAAAGAUUAUAACAAAAGAGAGAUUUUAACUAACUUGUUAUGGAGGGAUGAGAUAACGAUCAAGUUGGCAUAAUCUGUAGAGAUAACGACGAGUUUGGAAUAAUCAUGUGGUGAUAAUAUUAUGAUAUUCUGCCUUUUGAUCAACUGAGCACGCUCCCUCUCACAACACAACUCUCUUCAUAAGAAUUGGCCAACAUGGAUUGUCACUUUUCAUGUUAAUUUGAUAUUACCUUGAAUGGCAUAUUAAUUUGAUUUGAAAAAAUGGAACGAGAGUAGAGGAAAAAAGGAGAAUGAAAAGAAAUAAGAAAAAAAAUGAUGAAUUUCAUAUAAAAUCAAAUAAUGAAAUAAUAAAAUUGAGGUCGAUUCUCUUUUUUUUCUCUUUUUUCUCUAAUAAAAAUAUAUCAGAUUAAUGACAAAGUAUUGAUAUUUGAUCCCCUCAGUUUCUCUUAUUAUCUCCCACUUCUCUCAUUUUAAUUUGAAAAGUCAAAAAUACCUACCAAAAUAAUUUUAAGUUUUAAAUUUUACCCUUUCUUCUUUCUCUCCUCUCUCUUAUUCUCCCGACUUCCCUUCAUCUUCGUUUUCUUUAAAAAUUGAAGAUUAGUACACUUUCCUUCAUUUUUUGAUCUUUCUGUAUCGAUGAGAGCAAUAAUUGACAUCAUCAAACAAUCCUUUUCUACCCAAAUCAUGAUUAUAAACAAAAGUAAAAAAUAGCAAUAUCAUGAUAUGGAAUCUUGAUCAUAUCUCAUGAUCCCUCUUCAGCUUCUAUGUUAAUCAAAAAGAAAAAAAUAUAAUCGAUUAAAGAUUAAAUUUAAAUUUUAAAAUGUUGUCCUUUUUUUGGGGGGGGGGGGGGGGGGGGAUAAAAAAGAGUUUGAGAUCAAGAUGACAGUGUUGCAUAAAUAAUUAUUAUUAUAAUAAUUAAAGAAACGGCUUGCAUGUCCACUUAUUGCUAAGAAGAGAAGUGGUUCGCGCCGGCCAGUUCCAAGAAGACAAGUGGUGGGUGUCAGUGCAUGGUUAGUAAUUAUUGGGGACUAGAACUGAUUGCCAAGAGUGAGGGUGCAUUUAAUAUUGAGGUUGAGUAACUUUUAAGAUACUGUACUAAAGUGUUUGGUAAACACUAAUUACGGUAGCUUGGAAACUAUGGUGGUAUUUGUUUUUUAACUUAAUGACUUAAAGUGACUUAACUUAAUUAAUUAAGUUAAUUAGAGGUGUUUGUUUUUAUAACUUAAUGAGACUUUUUAGAUAAUUUUGACUUAAUAAAAUAAGCUAAUUUUUUUGGCUUUUUACUUAAUGGAGAAAUCUGAAUUAAGUUAAUUACUUGCUAAUGUCAAAAAUAUCUCUGUUUUAUAAUUUAUUUUUUAUGUCUAUCCCAAAACUCACCCAUAAAUAUUUACCCCACAUAAAAAUAUCCCUGUUUUUUCUUUCUUAUAUUAUAUACGAUAAAAUUUGAAAUUUAUGGUAUUUUAUAUAUUAAAAUUCUAAAAUAAUUAUGUAUUCACUUGAAUAUAGUUUUGCUUAUAAAUGUUAAAAUAUUAUGGUAUUUAAUAUAUUAUUUAUUUGACAUUCAAAUUUAAUAAGGCUACAAAUGUAAAAGUACAUAUUUUCAGCUUUUUAAGUUGAAAAAAACAAACAGCUUAAUACUUAUUUUCCGAGAUUCAUACGAAAAAACAAACAUAUUAUUCAGAUUCAGACAUUCAGAUCUAUUAAGAAUUCAGACUAAUUCAGGUUUAUUCAGAUUUUAGAUAAAAAAAACAAACGCCACCUAUGUUAAUAUGAUUUUUUUCUUAUAUAAUAAAAAAUUUAUUAUAUCUUUAAUAAUUUUGUCAAAAUUAUUAUUUAAAAUUUAUAUAUACUAUAUAUUAUUAAUUUUUGUUUCAUAUUUACAGUUUUUUUUCCAUAGCAGUUAUAACUUAAAAGGUAUAGCACCUCAAUUUCAAACAGGACCUGAAUCUUGUUCAACAAGCAACAGAUUUAGCACCGAUGAGAGAAGAACAAAUAUUAAUUUUAUUUUUUUUAAUGAGGGCAAUUCUGAAUAUAAUUAUAACUAGUAAAAUGGGAGCUAACGAGAUAAAUUGAGAGGUUUAAUAUCUUUACUCUUAAUGAUAAAAAUAACCACAUCGAAGUGCACUGUUAAAUAAAUAAGUGCCAUCACUAUUUAUGCAAUUUACAUGAUAUUAUGAUUAAUCUUGCAUAUGAUUAUUUAUUAAUAAAAAAUAUGUAACAUGUGCUAGCACAUACUAUUUUCCUCUAAAUUUCUUAUACCACAUUUUUUCCUAUAAAUAGAAAGAGGCACACGUCUUCCACGCAAAUCACACAAGUAAGACUUAGUAUAAUUAGAAACAUGAAUCUCAAAGCUUUCUUUGUUCUCUCCGCAGUGCUCUCUUUGCUUCUCUUGGUAUAUAUGCAUCUCUUUUUUAGGAAAAUUUAACAUAAAGGAUACCUAAUUAAGUUAGUUUUGAUGAGAUUCUCUUUAUCAUUUGUUUGAUCUAAUUUUUUUUUUUUCCUCUUGUUCAGUUUGCUAACAGAACAGAGGCCAGAAAAGAUCAGGGAGAAUAUUGGAGAGGCUUCGUCAAAGAUAGCGACGUGCCAGAAUCAAUUCAAAUUCAUGUUCGCCAGGAUCCUGUCUCAACUGCCUCUGAUGCCAAAGCCCACUGCAAAGAACCUGAAGAUUUAGAGCACAAGAGAGAAAAGACUUAUGUCAAGGAUUCUGACGCAACGAUUGAUAUCUUAGUUUAUCACAACAGUAUUAAACCAACUGAACAAAAGUUAUUUGGCAACCACUUCGAAAGCCCGGAUGCUACAAUUUACCACAAUGACAUUAAACCAACAGAACAGAAGUUAUUUGGCAACCACUUCGAGUCAAGCCCGGAUGCUACAAUUUACCACAAUGACAUUAAACCAACAGAACAGAAGUUAUUUACCAACCACUUCGAGUCAAGCCCGGAUGCUACAAUUUACCACAAUGAUAUUAAACCAACAGUACAGAAGUUAUUUGCCAACCACUUCGUGUCAAGCCCGGAUGCUACAAUUUACCACAACGAUAUUAAACCAAUUGAAAUGAUUAAAUCUUUUGUUAGCAAAUUCUUGUCAAACCCUGAUGCUACAAUUUAUCAUGAGUAACCAGACUCUGCUUUCAAUCGUGUGGAGAGAGCCCGUUAUCCAUCUGUAAUAUUUGUGCGUACGUGUGAUGCUCUCUUUCUAUAAAUAAGUUAUGAGGAGUGCGGUUGUUUAAUGCUCUAAGGCACAAGCUUUGUAAGAAAGUGUGUUUUUAUUGUAAAAUUGAAUAAAAAUUUGUGCCAAGUUAAUUAAUUAUCCCUUUUCUAGUGAUUUUUUUUUUUCUAAUGCUUUGAUUAUUUCCACAAAAUCUUUUCGUAAGGAAAGGGCCUAGCUACUUGAAUCAAUUUUCUCCAUUUCAACGUUAUUAGUAUAAUAAUAAUACAAAAAAUCAUUAAUCUCAGUAAUUGAUAAACAAUAUUCUUUGCUAUUAUAUUGAGAAUUAAUUCCUAAUCUGAGAAAAUAAAUUAACAAUUAAAAAAUAAUAAAAGAUCGUGAACUACUUAGAUUUAUGGCCCUCUCACAUGUCGAUGGUACUUUACAUAAUUAGAAGCCUUUUUAUUAAUUUUAACAGACACCAUUCAAUCAACUUUGGUGACAUACUGAUAAUUGAUGCAAAAUUCUAUUUGGGGAAAAAAAAGUAAAAGAAAGAACUCCUAUUUUAGCUCUUAAAUCUUAAUUUUUCAAAUUUUAGAAGGAUUAAUGAUCAACAUUAUUUAGCCUAUUUUAUUUAAUUUAUAACUAUAGAAAUCCUAAAGCUGAUGGAGUAUACUUAAUACCUUAUUUUCCCCAAUCACAACCGUCUAAAUUCCUGAAACAUUUCAUUUCUUAAAUUUCAACGGUACAGAUUAAUUCUCUUACGAAAACUCAGCGACUUAUCCUGGACCGCCGCUACUAAAAUACAUAAGAGUAAAAUACUAUAGUAUUCCGGGACAAAUUUAUUUCUUCCACGACGCAAUAAAAUGCUGCGUCCAAUAACAUUCUGUUUCCUAAAGCUUACCCAAAUCGCAGAUAGGAACAUGGUUUGCAAUAAUUUUUCUAACAGAUCCUGCCAUCAAAUUCGUUAAAAACUGGUUUAAUUUUUAUUAAAUAAUUUUAAGUAAAUUGAAUAAGAUAAAAAAUUUAAAAAGUUAUUAUUUUAUAAUGAAAAAGCUAGAUCAUCCAUACGUAAUAAAAAAUAGUACGCAUUCACAACUUAAUGCAAUAUAAUCUAGACAACCAAAUAUAUUUUAUGUAUUUUUUACAAAUUGCUUUUAGUAUAAGCAAAUAAGGUGGUUGUCUAAACAUUCAUAUUUUUGGAAGGUCUCAAUUUUUAAUAUUUUCUUAAUAAUUUUCUAAUUAAUAAAGAUAUUUUUUUAACUUAUGUAUUGUAGAAAAACCUAUUAGACAUUUUUAUUAUUAACAACUAUACUACAAUUAAGAGUCUUUUUUGUAUAGAAAAUCAAUAUUUGUAACCUUAUUGAUAAAGAGAAAUGAUUAAUAAUAUUUUUAACCAUUAAUUCAUUCAUUAUUAGUUUUCUCAAGAAAAAAAGUUAAAUUCUUUACCUUUUCAUUUUCCUAAAAAAAACUUGAUUAUUUAACAUUGAAAUCUUUGACUUUUAUUAUUCCUUUAGUUUCUAUUAGAACCUUAUAAUAUAAAAAAUCAAUAGAUAAAAAAAAUUUGUUCCUCCUUUCUUUACGAAGAAAAUUAUUAUAUUUAUUGGUUAAUUUAAAAAAGAAAAAUUAGUUUCUUGAAGUAUGAAGACCAUAUCUAUUAUCUGAUAAUCAAUUCAUGAUCUCGACUUUCUAGCUAUAUUCUGUCAUUCUAAAUAUUUUAUUUGAAAAUAAUAUUGUUUUUAUUUAUUUGUUUGUUUGCUUUUUAAGAGUUCUGAUGGAAGUAAAAAAAACAAAUCUUUUUUACUAAUUUUUUAGGUUUUUUUUAAAAGAUUUUUUAAGAUAUUUUUUUAUUACUGUUAAAAUUUAAGAAUUAAAGAUAGAAUGAAUUUUUGAGUCUUUUCAUAUUUCUUUGAGUAUUGAAAUUACAAAAUAAAAUAUGGCCUUACAAAAAAAAAAUUCGCCUAAGACCCCAUAUACUCUAAUGCCGACUCUGGGUGAAAUUAUUGAUUUUAUUAAUAAUAAUAUGAUGUAUACUAACCAAUGUACAAAACAGUAGUGGGUGACAUAAAUUAGAAUUGUGUUGCAAAAACAAGAGGUUUGAGUGAAAAAGAAUUUACAAACUCACAUUACAAUGUUAUAUAGUUGCCAUAUGUCUCACAUUUUCAAAUGAACAAAAUAUAAUAAAUACAGUAUAAUCUUUAUAACUGAAUAUUCAAUAGAUUAAUAAUCUCUACUGUGUAAUAAUUUUUUAUGGUCAUGACUUAGGCCAAUAGGUUAAAUUAAUAAUUGCAAUAAAUUAAUAAGAUGAUAUUUUUUAUGAAAACCCUUAUAUAACUAUGUGGCUCCAUUCAUAUCAAAAUUAAUAAUUUUUUAAAAUUAUAAAUAUAAUUGACAAUAAUUUUUUAUUUAUUAAAAUGUGAGUCGAUUAUUAUCUUGUUCCCUUAUUACUUCUUUUCCUUGAAAUAUAAAUCUAUUUGAAUCUCGUAUCUAAUUUUUCUUAUUACAUCUAAAAGUUUUGGGAUUGAAUUCUUGAAUUAUAAUAAAAAAAAAUUAUGAAGUGCUUUCGUACACAUAACUGGCUCCAAAGCAAUUGUAUCAUUCUCAACUUUUAUCAUCGACAUGAUUUUAAGUGAUGUCAGCAGUGGUUUAAUUUAUUCUAAACUUAAAAUCUCUCAACUUACAUCAUUUUUAUUAUGAUAAUCCAAGAGGUAAUUAAGUAGAUAAAUACAAUACAGUUAUUGUUUUGGUUUAUCUAAUAUCUAUUUAGUAGAUUAAUUCAUAUUCAAUAAAUUAGAUUAGUAAAAUAUAACGAAAUUUUAGUUAAUUAAAUGUACGUUUAUUGAACUAUAAAUGAACUCUAGAAAUUAAUAAAUUAUUAAUUUACUAAUUACAUAAUAAUUCUUUUAAUUAAUAAAAUUUAAAUAGUCCCAAUGUUAUUAAUUCAUAGAAGUUAUAUGAAAUAUGUGUCAACUAUAUAAUAUCGUAGUUUGUAAACAAAACAUAACUCUUUUGUUAAUUGAAUACUAACGUAAUGCUAUAGAAAUAACAUAUGUGACCAAUUUGCAUAAAUGUAUACUCUCUGUAUCUUAUUACAAAUGCUUUAUAAAUCAGUGACUCAGAUGUUAUUAUCUAAACUCGUGGAAGCAUUACUUUUGUCCCUGCCAAUAUCAUUCAGAUAAAUAGUUGUUGUGCGUUCAGAUUCACCAGGAAUGCUUACGCAAAACAUAGACUGAACCCAAGAGCUUCGAAACUCGAAACUGAACCAAAUCAUUCUAAUGGAAGAGAAACGCCGGGAAGCCAGAGCGCAACCGGCGGCUACGAGCUCGGCCGCAGCUGGAGCCGAGUCAGCGGCAUCCGAGCCGGCUUCGCUCGGCGCCGAGCCGGAGCGCACAAAAGGAAAGCCUCGGCGCUCUCAGCGACUAACGCUUCAUCCACGCCGUCGAAGCGCAUGACUCGCGAGAAGAAUUUAGUUGCUCACACUCCGAUCUACAACCAUAACGUUACAUCUUGACAUUUGUAGUAAGAACGUGAGAGGAUACCUGGAGUGUAUUGGGAUUUGGGCGGAAGAGAAAGGAGCCCUUGGAAUUGGGAAACAAAUGAAAUUAUCUGCAUGGUCCUUGUACUCGUGGAGGGACUGUAACUUCUGAACCAACAAUGCUGAAAAUGCAGGGUCAAAAAUCAACAUUAACUUGAUGAAUAAUUGUUUGAAAAAAAAAAAAAGCAAGAAAACUUGAUUAAUAUAAAAGAGAGCAAAGGAGCACAACCAUACAGAAGUUGUAUAAAGGAAUAUUAAUCAAGCUUGAUUAAUAUUCUUCUUCUAUCCAACACCACAAGAUGAAACACAGUAUUCCUGUUGCAGUAUAUGGUGAGAACUGUGAAGUGCAGGAAGUAGUUUCCUAAGAGAGAUGAUUGAAUGCUCUUAAUUUUUUUUUUCAGAAAAUCAUUUUAUUUUUAAUAAAAGUUUAAUUUUUUUUAAUAAAAAUUUUUAUUUAUUUUUUAUUAAGUUGUGUCUCAUAUUUACUAAUAAAGGAAGUUAUUUGGGUAUAUAAGUAGGAUGUCUCAUCUAACAUGCUAGUAGGAUAAAUCUCUCAUCUAAUAUGCUAGUAUUUUGGGUUAAAUACCUAUAAAUUCUAAGCCGAGUCCACAACAGUCCCCAAAAUAACUGGAUUUAAGUCCUAGCUACACCAGUAGAUUGAAUAGAAGUGCAAAUAAGUUUAACUUUUUUGUCAUUCAUUUUAGUCUUUUUUUUUUUUUUUUUUCACAUACAUUGAAAAAGGAUAACUCUGUCGUGAUUGCCAUGGCAGAGCCUAUUUCAAACGAUGGUGUAUGCUAAAGGAAAUUAUCAUGAGAUGAGUGAUAAACCAUACAAUCAGUAGCUACAGCCCACGAUUAAUCAGCCACAUGGCCACAAAUAUUAUUGGCGGCAAAUAUAUCAACAAAAUCACAAUAAAGAUGAGCAUCCUCGAUUCCAUUCCUUAAUGUAAAUAGGACAGCCUGUCUAGCCAUUACUUUAAGAGAUUUGGCUGGCUUUGACACUUGUAUAUAAGCUUGUAACCCUCUCAUUCUUUACAAGAAAUAAGAUAAUAUUUUCAGCUUAAUAAUUCUUUUCAGUGAGAUCAAAGAAAUGUAAAGAGAUAUAGUCACUACUACAAAAAUGUAAAACAAUGACCCAUAUGUUAUGACGGUUCUUCUAAACAACCGUCAUUAAAGAUAUUUAAUGACGGUUAUUAUGUGAACAGUCAUAAUAUAUACCACUUAUAAUGACGGUUAUGUAAUAAAACCGUCAUUAAAUGUCAAAUAAAAUUUACACUUAGUUUUAAUGACGGUUCAUUUAUAAAAACCGUCAUUAAAAGUCACUAUUUUUAAUGACGGUUCUUAUAUACAACGGUCAUUAUAUGUGUAGUUAAAAAUAAUAUUACUUUUAAUGACGGUUUUUUAAUAACCGUCAUUAAAAAUAAUAAUUUUUAAUCACGGUUUUUACAUAUAACGGUCAUUAUAUGUGUAAUUAAAAUAGUACUACCUUUAAUGACGGUUUUAAAAAAACCGUCAUUAAUAAUUUUUAAUGACGAUUUUUACAUUAAACGGUCAUUAUAUGUGUAAUUAAAAUAAUACUACCUUUAAUGACGGUUUUGUUAAGAACCGUCAUUAAAAAUAAAUUUAUUUUUAAUGACGGUUCUUAACAAAACCGUCAUUAAAAAUCAUACUUUUUAAUGACCGUUAUAUAUUAUAACGGUCAUUAUAUAUAUAAUUAAAAUGCUUUUAAUUUUAAUGACGGUUCUUUAAGAACCGUCAUUAAAAAUUGACAUUUUUAGUGACAGUUGUAUAAAACAACCGUCAUCGUAUAUAUUGAUAUAGUUAUAAAAAAAAAAAAAAAAUUGGCCUUAUACUGAACACCAAAUCCCUAAAAUUACAGAUAAUUUGUAAACAUUAAAAGUAAUGGCGCAAGCACGCACGCCGCCGGUACACUUAGCCCAUGCAGCAGCAACCGAGCACGGUAGCAACAGGCCACCAGCAGUCGCUCUCUCUCUCACGCACACGCAGCAGCAAGCCAACACCAAUAGCCCCUCUUUCUCAUGCUCACUCUCUACUAUGCCCUCUUACGUACUCAAGAAAACUCUAACCCAUAUCCAAACCCUCGCCGUCGAAGAAAACCCAAUCCUUAAUGGCUUGAAAUUAAAGCCUCCACCGUCAAUCACCAUCGAACCAAAUAAACUCUAGCCUUACCAUCACUCUUCGUUUGACUCGCUGAAGAAAGCACUCUAUUAGGUGAGUCUCUGUUGUUUGAUAAUAUAUCUGCACUCUUUGUUGGCCGAAGCUUUUAGACAAUUGCUUUGAUUCAAUUGCUUCGAUUGGUUAGUUCUCUGUGAUUAAUUAGUUAGUUACUUUUAAUUUCAUAUUUUCAUCUCUAACAGUGAAUUUGGGAGUCGAUUUCUCUGUCGGAUUUGUAAUUUUUGCUACAGAUCAAAAACAUCUUGAAGGUGUUUUCAUAUCUAACAACUUGAACUAUCAUUUAUUUUGUCUUGUUAAUGUUCAAUUUUUUUUUCUUUUUUUAUUAGUAUGACAAUUAGUCGAAUGUGCUUGCACAUAAAACAAUCUUUUAACUUGGCGUUGGAAUAUUUGUUUUGAGUUGUGUCCCCUUAAUCAAUGACCAUACAAAAGUUCCCCAUGAUAAAGUGUUUAGCCCUAUUAAUGCCAUAAAGUCUUGCUCUCAAUUUUUCUGAUUAUGCCUAUGGAUUGAUUACCUAUUUCAUUUACAAAUUCAAUUGGCAAAUGUACAAUGCCUGCAUGACACUCACAUUUGGGUUAUGAUGGUAGUCAUUAUGAGGAAGAAUGUUAGAAUAACAUCAGGGGAAACAUCUGGGAGAAGGUAUGUACUGUCAAGCUCUUUGUUAGAAUCAUCACGAAAUUUAUAUUGGAUCUUGGCUGUUCUAUGUGAUGCAUUUUGGAUUUGCUCUUACUAGACAUGCAAAAACCUGUAAAAUGUAUUUUUUUUUUCCAUUUUAGAUUUACUAUCUAGUAUCUUGUAGGUUUAAUCUAAAAUAGAAACCAUUGAGGAUACUGGACACAAUUCUAAUGAAGAGAAAAGAUGUUAGACUUUAGUAUUCAACCUUUUUUUUUUAGCCAUAUUUCUAGACCCCAAGUUUAUGUCAUGAUAAUUGUGUGAUUGAUAAGAUAUUUUGGUUUUGGACUUUAUCUCAUGGAUUUAGAGUUCGAUUAUAUUUGGAAGUGGAAUAAUGCAUUCAUUUACAUAUGAUGUUUGAUGAAGUUCCCAUAAAAUUAAUUCAAUUAUAUAUGUUUAUGGUUCUAAGGAAGCGGGGCAAAAAUUUUAUCAGUGGGUUGAUUUCACUAGUUUAAGUUAGUAAAGCAAAGAAAUUGUCUUUAUGCACUUUAACUUUCCUCCAUUUAAGGUGAAAAAAUUAUUGAAGCUUUUAGAAGUGAAUUGUUCAUUUUGUUUGUGCACUUAUGCAGAUGGAUUUACUUUUGGCUGCUUAACCCUUCCUCACUUAUAUUUUUUCAGUUUAAAUUGCAGUGUUUUGCUGCUGUGCAACAGCACAAGAGGCUGUUUUAUUGUUGUUUCUGUAAAAACACAGCACCAGGAAGCGUCCAGGUAAUGUUUCGCUGCUGUUAUGCAGUAAAAACAACACCUGAAAGUUUCUAGGUGCUAUUUUUACUGCUGUUUACGCAGAAACACAGCACCUAAAAGUGUCUCUAGGUUCUGUUUAGCUGCUAUUAUGCAGCAAAAACAGCACCUGGAAACUUCCAAGUGCUGUUUUUAUUGCAUUUUAUGCAGAAACAAAGCACCUAGAAGCAUUCAAGGGUUGCUUUACUGUUGUUUUGUAUUUAAAAUUGCUGUUAGAAAUUUUGGGUGCUAUUUCUCUGAAAUUUUGCUAUUAACAGUGCAGCUUAAUAAUUUCAUAUGUCGUUUUGAACCUUCUUCAGUUCUUUUCUCUUAUGUCUAUACUUAAUCUUUUCCCCCCUGGUAAUAAGCAGGUACAAUUUUUGCAAGGUAAUAUCUAAGCAUGCUGUUAAUUCUUUGGUUGAGACGUAGUAUUCUAAACUUCAGGCCUUAAUUUUUUUAUUUCCAAGUGUAUAAUGGGUAGGUACUGGAUCUCUUAUGGAUGAUGUAGUUAAUGCUUUUUUAUUGUCUCUAUUUUGGCAAAUGUGUUGUCAUUUAUUAUCUGAACACAUGGUUGAUUAACUUACUUGAGGUAAGUCUAUUAAUUAAUAGUGAUAUGAUACUUUAAAGUCUUGUUUUACAACUUAAGUCACUAAAAUGAUUUAAUAUUUAUGAUUUAUAAUAUAUGAAUAUAUCUUAAUUUCUCUUUAUUCUUUGUAAGAAUGAUGUAGAUUGCUGAAGCUGGUGAGAUUCAUUUGCAAUUGAAGACUUGAUGAGAAAUUAGAUGUACUCACACAUGCCAAUCUUGUUGGUUGCUAGUGCAUUCACUAGUAGAAGUUUAAUGAUUGUUGGAGAUUUUUGUAGAGCUAUCUCUUUGUAAAUGAAACAUUUGCAUCAUUUUGAAUAUGAAACAUUUGUGAAAAAUAAUUGUAAAGAAUUUAAUAUGAAAUUAGAAUUAAAAUAGGGGCUUGAAAUAGCCUUAAAUUUGCCAAAUUUAUUUUUUUAAUAAUAAAUAACAAAGAUGACGGUUAUUUCAAAAGAACCGUCAUCAAAUGUAGUGUUCUAUAACAAAUAUGACGGUUUUCUUCUAAAACCGUCAUUAAAUGUUGUUUCAAUAUUUAAUGACGGUUCUUACAAUAAACCGUCAUUAAAAUGACACAUUUAAUGACGAUUAUUUAGAUAAACCGUCAUUAAAGAUAGAUAUUUAAUGACGGUUCUUACAAUAAACCGUCAUUAAAAUGACACAUUUAAUGACGGUUAUUUAAAUAACCGUAAUUAAAAAUAUACAUUUAAUGACGGUUAGUGAACCGUCAUAAAAAACAUACCCUCUUUAAUGUCGGUGCCUAAGAUGACGGUUUUAAAACCGUCAUCUUAUGUCGUUUAAAACCGUCAUAAAAGACCAAUUUUGUAGUAGUGAGUCUAUUAGGUUGGCAAAUCUACUGAAACAAUAUUGUUUCCUAUCAACUCCGAAAUACAACCAAUUGAACAACGUUCAGAAAUCGAAAAUCAUUUAUUACCAGUAAGAUUUAUUAUUAUACGCUAUACAUAUGGCUUUAACAGUCACAUUACCAAUACAUUUUUAAUCAUGGUAGGUAGGUGCUGGAAUGUAUACAAUAUUAUCAGCCUGGAAGAAAUGGCAGACAUGGGAGCUCCCUGGCUCGAUCCCAAGCACACGAAACGAUGCAUGAUCUCGACUCCAAUGAGACGUAUCCAUGUGGCAAACUGCUACAGCUUCCACUCUAUCUCCAUUAUCACCACCUAAUGAAACACCGAAUAACUUGUUCUCAGUCAUUUGGCUGUGGCAGUAGAAGAUUGCAUAAGGGUAAGGCAUGAUAUGACAUGCCACCAUCUUGGGAGCAACCAUUGGUUUAGGCACUUGUAAAAUAGUGUAAUUUUGGAAAAUGGUAGCUGAUUUUGUGAGAAAUUUUGUGCUUAGAACUUCGAAUUUGGUCUCCAAUCCGAAAGUUCCGUGUACAAAAUCAAGCAUGGAUUCCAAAGAGGUAGCACAAAUUUUGGUUUCUCCUUCGAUGGGAGGAACUUCGCAAUGAUUCAGGGUCCCUUCCAUGGCUUUGGCUAGGGGUGAGUCAUCUGAGAACGAGAAGAAUUGAAGAAGGUAAGGCAGUUGUUUCAAUGAAAAUGGAAUGGAAUCUGCUUCUUCUCUAGGCAAAGCCUGAGGAUAAGCUGAAGGAUCUCUCUUGCGAAAAAUAAAUCGGCAUCGUUUCGCCAAUCUUUAGAUCCUUCAAGGUGAAGAACACCAUCGUUGAAGGGUCCAUGUGAUUCAUGUGGGAUGGUAUUGAAUGAGAAUCAUGAAGAUUCUCCGAAAGCACCUGAGCACACUGUAAAACAGUUGAGCAAUUCAAUAUGACAACAUAGAUGAAAAAUCAACAACACAAGUUCUAUAAAGUGUAAAACUGAAGGAGCAAAAUAUAUCUUUUUGAGUUAUUGCUUUAAGACAACACUUAUGUACAUCUAUUGCAAAGUAAGCACUUCCUUAGCACACAUUGAGGAUUAUUACCAGAAAGAGUAGAGAAAGAAGGAGGUUCCAAACUGAAAAUCUUAACCCCAUCUCUUUUCUAUUAUCGAAGUUUCUUAUGUAUUUUAGUAAUCUUUUUGUUUUUUUUUUUAAGGGAGAGGAAACACAGAUAACAAGUGAAGCAGAAAGAGAAGAGAUUGUGUAACUGUAUAUGUCAACAACCAAAUGAUGUGUGUUAAUUUUCAAGUGGAAAUUUAUAGCCUGCAUAAGCUGAACUUGUUCUACUGUGCUGAUUAAUUGAAUCACAACACAGUUUGAAUAAUGACCUUAAUAGUCCAAUCCAGCAAAGAAUUCAGCACUCCAAUCAUUUGGGGACACACGUAUUGCACCUUCAUCAGGUCUGCGGAUUUUAAUAGUUUUGACUGAGUGAAUGAUUACUUCAAUUGAUAACAUUGCAUAUUAGAUUACCAGACCUAAAAUUGAUUUCUUAUUAAAAAAUUUACUUGCAAUUUGGAAACUCUCUUUGACACAUUAAUUACAGACUCGAAAUCUGUAUCAAUAUUCCCCAUACAUAGACAGAACUGAGCAUAAAAAGUGGGAAGGCAGAUCGUAAACAAAUUCGACAUGGUAGUUUCCAAGGAUGAAUAGCAUUUUUUUCAUUCAAAAAUGGGAUAAUAUAUCCUUCAGUCACGUAAUGUACACUAAGGCGGCGUUUGGUUGGGAGGAGAGAACAAAGAAGAGGAAAGUAAUUUAAAUUUUCUUUUUAUUUUCAUUGUUUGGUUUGAUAAAAUAUAUAAGAAUUUAAUUUCCAUUAGAAUUUAAUAUCCAUCAUAAUUUGAAUUCCACACCAAGUAGUGAAGAAUUUAAAUUCCUCUUAUGUUAGAAACUAAAGUUUCCAAAAUUACCCUUCAACUUGUUUAAUGUCAUUAAUAAUUAUUAUUUAAUAUUAUAAAUGGAUCACCGCCGGAAAGUCGCCGGACUACCGCCGGAAAGUCACUGGAAAGUUACCGGGCCACCUCGGAAUGUUGCCGGAAAGUCACCAGACCACUGCCGAAAGUUGCCGGACGUCGCCAAAAUCCUGCCGAACGUUGCCAUAAGGUAGUUUCCAAGGAUGAAUAGCAUUUUUUUUUCAUUCGAGAAUGGGAUAAUUUAUCCUUCAGUCACGUAAUGUACACUAAAGCUCUUCUCAACCUAGUGUGCGUCGGAUAUGUGAGCGUCGGGGCUCCAAUCUCCCGUACAAUCUUUAAAAUUUUGUUUGGUCAAAUUAACAGGCUGCACUCACUGUAUUUCCAUGGAUCACACUACUUCAACUAAAAGAUAAGAUAAUAAGUAUCUUUAGGAUUUUACUGAAUGAUUUUUAAGUAGUUUUUAUUAAUUAAUUAUUCAAAUUCGAAUUAAAAAAAGACUAAAAAAUUCAUCUGAAUUUUUCUCACUCCCAAUCUUUAAAAAUAAAACAAAUAAUAAGUCAUAUAAACAAUAUUUUAAAUGCAAUUUUCACUUCAAACAUAUUUCAUUUGAAGUUUAAUUAUAUUCUCCGAUGGAACCUGGAUAAGUUGAAAAAAAAUUUAUUAAUAAAAAAAAUGUACAUCUAAUUGUCUAACGAUGGGUCAAGAACAAAAGGUUAAAAGAUAAUAUACGUGGACAUGAUAAUGCAGAAACCGAAAAUCAAAAGGGCACGAGUUUCAAAUGCUAGACAAAUGAAAGAGACGUGUGAUUGCAGGUCGAUUUUCUUCUCAUCACUAGCCACUAGUGUUGUGCGCGGAAUGCGGAAUCAAGCGCACCAAAUAAUUAUUGAAAAAUAAAGGACACAAGAAUUUACGUGGUUCGGUAAUUAAACCUACAUCCACGGAGACAAGAAAGAAUAAUUGUUUAUUUAACAAUUAAUAGAAUACAAUAUUUGAGUAACGAAUCUCACUUCCCAGAAAACCCAAAUAUACCCAGUACUCUCACACUCUGCAAGAAAGAUAAAUUCCCCAGACACACUUCUCUCACUUCUCUCAAAAGCUUAGAAACUUAUAAGCUUGACAAUUUUGGGAUGAUUUCAAAUGAAUGAAAUCCUUAGCUAUUUAUAGACUUGAAGCUAGUAUUAUUCCACCUAACCCAAGUACUAUUUCACCUAACCCAAGCACUAUUCCACCUAACCCAUGCAAAUAUGUCAAUGGUGUCCAUUUGGCAAAUUUGACAAAUUUGCCAACUUUCCAUUUUUUCUUCAAAUGUUUGGUAGCUCUUUGAAAAAUUGCCACAUGCAUGACUUUUCAACAAUUCUCCACCUCGGCGAAAAUUUGUCCAAAUCUGAGCCGACUACCAACGAACCCUCAUCCCCAAAGUGAUCCUUCAAUAAGGAUCCAGAAUGACUGUGUCGAUUCGACUGUCUACGUACCCAAAAUUUGGGAUCAAGCCAACCGUAGUUCAAAAAUUCUCCAAACUCAACGCAUUCGAAGAAUUAGUUUCAAUCCGUAUAAAGAUUUACUCAAUCUGCACACACGAUUUUCCUUUCCAGCAACUCUGAAACCACAAGGCUGAAUCAUAUAGAUUUUCUCCUCUAAAUCUCCAUGUAAGAACGCCGUCUUAACAUCCAACUGAGCUAACUCUAACUCAUAUUCUGCAACUAAGGCAAGUAGGAUACGAAUGGAAGUAUGUUUUACAAUUGGAGAGAAAACUUCAUUGUAGUCCAUACCUUCCUUUUGAGCAAAACCUUUUGCCACGAGCCUUGCCUUGUAUCGAGGAGUUGUUUGAUUCGGAGAUCCUUGCUUUUUGGUGUAGACCCAUUUAUUGCCAAUAGCCCUUUUCCCCUUUGGUAACUUUACAAGUUCCCAAGUCUGGUUUUGAUGGAGAGAUUUCAUCUCUUCCUCCAUGGCUAGCUUCCACUGAUCACUUUCAUUGCUGCGUAAUGCUUCACCGAAAGUAUUGGGGAUGUCAUCAUCAAUAACUGAAAGUGCAUAGGCUACCACCAUAUCUUUAGUAAGCCAUCCGGGUUUUUUUAUCUCUCUUUUUGGCCUCCUUGUUGCUAUAAAAUCAUCAUCAUCUACAUCAUCAAUUGUUUUUUCAUUUUGUGGGACAUCAGAAGAAACAACCUCUUCUUCAACUUUAGGUGUCACCUCCAUAGUUGAACCAUUCUUUGAUGUAGAACUAACUUGUACAUAUGGAGUUGCAUCAAACUCCACCCGCUGCAAUACCUCUGUGGUCUUGUUCUCCACCUGCUGAGAACUUGAAGCUUUUAUCAUUGAAGCUUCAUCAAAUGUGACAUCUCCGCUACACACAAACUUUUUGUCUUCGAGAUCCCAAAGCUUGAAGCCCUUUACUCCACCUUUGAAUCCCACAAAGAUAGAUUUUUUAGCACGAGGAUCCAGUUUACCAUCUUUGACAUGAUAAUAAGCUGGACACCCGAAUACACGAAGGGAAUCAUAGUCUUGUGCAUGCUUUCCAGACCCCAUUUCCAUAUGAGUUUUACCUCCAAUUGCAGCAGAAGGCAACCGAUUUACCAAGUGACUUGCGUAGCUCACAGUUUCAGCCCAAAACUUUUUAUCUAAACCAGCAUUAGAUAACAUACAUCGUACCUUCUCCAGUAAAGUACGAUUCAUACGCUCAGCCACACCGUUCUGUUGCGGAGUAUGUCUCACCGUGAAAUGUCUUUUAAUACCCUCGUUCUGGCAUACUUGCAAGAAUGGAUCAGAAGUAUAUUCACCCCCAUUAUCAGAUCGUAAUACUUUGAUCUUUCUGCCAGUUUGAGUCUCCACCAAUUUCUUCCACUUCACGAAAAUCUUUAGAACCUCAUCCUUUGCUCGCAUGGUGUACACCCAUACACGUCUAGAGAAAUCAUCAACAAAUAUAACAAAAUAAUGGCUUCCACCAAUUGAUGCAGUCUUGGUUGGUCCCCAUACAUCACUAUGAACAUAUUCAAGGAUCUCACGAGUAUCGUGAUUAGCUGUACCAAACUUGACCCUUGUUUUCUUGCCUACUACACAAUGCUCACAGAAAUUUAAUUUACAGGUUUUGGUACCUUUUAAGAGUCCAUGCCUCAUCAGAGUUUGCAAAGACUUCUCUCCUGCAUGUCCCAGUCGUACAUGCCAUAGCUUGGUGGUGUCACUGUGCGCCUCAACAACAUUUGCUUCAUCAGUUGUACCUCUCUUCAAAUAGUACAAAUUGUGACGCCGAACCCCUUGCAGAAUCAUCAUAGCCCCAUGUGUAAACUUCAUUGUGCCAUCUUCAAUGGUAACUUUGUAACCUUUAGCUUCCAAAGCACCCACAGAAAUUAGAUUUUUCUUUAUCUCUGGAACAAAUCUAACCUAUUUGAGUUCUCUGACCAUUCCAUCAAACAUUUUGAGCCGAAUUGUUUCUAUCCCCAUUGUGCGACAAGGUUGAUUAUUCCCCAUCAUAACUGCACCGGAUUCCAGAUUACGAAAAUCCGUAAACCAUUCCUUAAUAGGACACAAAUGAUAGGUUGCUCCAGUAUCAAGUGUCCACUCACUCGAACUAGCCACGUAUGCUGCAGGAGUAAUACUUAGUGAAUAAUCAGAGUUCUCAUCUUUCCGUGCCAUGUUUACUGCUGCUGGUUUCUUCCCAUCUCUCUUUUGAGCCUUUGGACAAUCUUUUCUCCAAUGACCCUUUUCAUGAAAAAAGGCACACUCAUCUCGAGCUAUAUUUCUGCUUCUUGAUUUGGAUCAAGAAUUCAUUCCACCACGGUUCUUCUGUUUCUCCAUCGCCCAAUCUCUGCUCACCAAAGCUUCAGACGAUGCUCGUUCAGAAUUUUUAUCAUUAUUCUGAAUCUCCAAACUAGUCAAUGCUGUGCAAACAUCUUUAAAGACGAUCACACUCUUCCCAUAUAUCAAAGUAGUCACAAAAUGGCUAUAUUCCUCUGGUAGUGAGUGUAACAGAAUCAUAGCCUUAACUUCAUCUUUAAUAUCUUCAUCAAGAUUCUUCAAAUCAGCAAGUAACUUUUCAAAUCUUGAAACAUGAUCGUGCAUUGACACCCCAGGCUUCAUUCGAAAACCAUAUACUUGGCUCAUUACAUGAAGGCGAUUUUCAGGACUUUUCACCAGGUACUUCUCCUCCAAUGUACGCCACAAAGUCACCGCACACUCCUCAUCUUUCACCAAGUAUUUCACCUCCUUGGUCAAACAAGAUCUGAUAUGACCACAAGUUUUUUCGUUCAUACGAUCCCAAAUUUCUUCAUCAUACAAGUGCCUUUUAUUUUUUAGAACAACAUCGAGAUCGAUUUGAAUAAGGGCAUCCAUAACUUCGCGCCUCCACAUGCCGAAGUUGAUUUUCCCAUCAAACUUUUCAACAUCGAUCUUUUGGCCUCCUAUAACAUGUGCUGAAUAGCGAUUUGAUAAAUCUCGCCUCCCACCUGAAGUGUCUCCUGAAAUAGUCUCGGUAGAUAUCUCCCUAAUUCUGGAAGUUUCACCUUCUACCAUUUUCUCAACGAACUAUUUCCACUUAAAAAACAGUCUCUAUGAUGUUAAUUUCGCGUGAAUAAAUGCACCAGGAAAGUUCCCAGGAAACUGGACGGGAACUCGGUCCCAAUUAAAAACCAGAAUCCUUAGACUCUUAUCGCCUUUUUUGACAGAACUUUCCUAGACAUGCAAAAAUACACACUACUUACAAUAGACUGUCUCCCAAGUACAAAUGGCCGUCUCCACCGUAUUCGUAAAUAGUGCCGUAUAUGUGAACAGUACCGUAUACGUGAACAAUACCGUAUACGUGAACAGUACUGUAUCCCCCCAAGUACGAACCGUCGGCUCUGAUACCACUUGUUGUGCGCGGAAUGCGGAAUCAAGCGCACCAAAUAAUUACUGAAAAAUAAAGGACACAAGAAUUUACGUGGUUCGGUAAUUAAACCUACAUCCACGGAGGCAAGAAAGAAUAAUUGUUUAUUUAACAAUUAAUAGAAUACAAUAUUUGAGUAACGAAUCUCACUUCCCAGAAAACCCAAAUAUAUCCAGUACUCUCACACUCUGCAGGAAAGAUAAAUUCCCCAGACACACUUCUCUCAAAAGCUUAGAAACUUAUAAGCUUAACAAUUUUGGGAUGAUUUCAAAUGAAUGAAAUCCUUAGCUAUUUAUAGACUUGAAGCUAGUACUAUUCCACCUAACCCAAGUACUAUUUCACCUAACCCAAGCAUUAUUCCACCUAACCCAUGCAAAUAUGUCAAUGGUGUCCAUUUGGUAAAUUUAACAAAUUUACCAACUUUCCAUUUUUUCUUCAAAUGUUUGAUAGCUCUUUGAAAAAUUGCCACAUGCAUGACUUUUCAACAACUAGCACACAUCCCCUUAAUCAAAAUCUUUUUCAAUAUUGUUUAUUAUAUAAAUGGAUAUUGGUAGUGGUUGAACUUCUAUUAUUUAAUUAUGUUGUCAUUUUCCAUCACUACAACAACAGAUGAUUCAAGUAGGAUCGAUCAAUAAUUGUCGCCCAAUGUUUUGUCUUUUUCAUAAUUUAGUUAUUUUUGUUCAUAUGUCUGACGAAGAAGUUUUAAUUUUGCAAGAGGAAUUCAAGUUGAUAAGACCUUGUCGACUUGUCUUCUGCUGAAGAAUCUUGAAUAAUCAUGCCAAAUUCAAAAAGUGGCAAAAGCAAAAGGCUAAGUUCUUAAUGAAUUCAAUAUUAUUACGAAUUUGGUGCUAGCUCAAUCUUGAAAAUGAUCCAAAAAUUAAAAAGUAAACAUAUAAUAAUCACAUCUACAAAUGUACAUUAUUAGUGAGUCAUUGAUGAUAUCCCAUCACGAAUUCAUUAGCUGACUAAUUAAAGAUACCACGAAAAUAUUAUAUCAUUAGCUGGUCUAAAAAAGUAGUCAAUAAGAAAAUGAAAGGUAAAUUCAUAAAUUUCAGCCGGAAUUUUUUUUUUUUUUUUAAAAGGACCAAUAAUUGUAGGAAAUGGCUAGCUUCUUAUCCUCUUCACAAAAGAUUAAAUCCUCUUGAAAAGGUUUGUUACUGAAAUACAUAUCAUAUUACACCAACACUCUCUAUUACCAUAUGAAUUUAGAUCUUCCCCUAACUUAAUAUUUCAUAUAAUAUUGUAGGAAUAAUCUUCAUCACCGGAGAUUAGGAUCUUCUCCUAACUUAAUAUCUCAUAAGUGUUGUAUGAGAUUAUUUAGCUCAUGUCAUUAUAUUUUUCUAAAGCUAGGAUUUAAUUUACUUUAUACUUUCCUUAUUAAACAUUAAAACCAAUAAUUUUCUAGGCUAAGUAAAACCAUGAAAUUCAAGUGUGCCGCUUUCUAACCAAACUGCUGCUUCUUUCUCUACCGUUUUUUUUUUUUUUUUUUGGUCACAAACUUUAAACUGUGGUAUAUAUAAACUUGAGCAAAGAAGCAUUAUUGGUAGGAUUGGCAAUGAGACGGGAUGGGAUGAGAUUUACCAAUCCCACUCCCGUCCCGCAUAUAUAAUUGAGAUAAAAAAAUGUCUCACUCCCAUCCUUCAAUUUUUUUAUGGGACCAAAAUAUAUCCCAAUCCUGUCCCAAAUUGCCAUCCCUAAUUAUUGGCAAUUCAUUCUUUUAAGAAUUGUUUAUGUAAUGGAAUCAGACCAGAACAGAAUGCAUUAUUGUUCGAUAUACGUAGUCUACAAUAACAAUUGAAGACACCUGAAGAUAAUAUCAAUUAUAGACAAUUGUUAUUGCAAUAUAUUCAAUGCAUUGUUGCUAUCGCUUGUCUGCAAUUAAUUUUAUAUAAAUUAAGCUGAUAUAUCUCAUUUCAGUGUACUAAUAAUUAAGUUGAACGUUGAUGCAGCUACUGCUAUUUCCAGGAACACAGCUUUCUAGGAGCCAUUAUUCGUAAUGUGAGAAGGGAGAUUAAUUAUGGCAGUAGCUAUCUAAAGUAAAAUUUUGGAGAUCUUGAAUUCGCAGAAGCAGAAGCAAUGAGAUUUGGGAUCGAAAUAUGCAAACGGCACAGGUCUAUUUCCAUUCAUUAUUGAAUCAGAUACUAAGAAUGUUGUCAAUCUUGCUGCAGCACUUGAAAGUACUAGAAAAGAGAUUCUUUGAGUGAUAUAUCUCUGAUAUUUAAUUGUUGGCUAGACAACUGGCAAUUUCAAAUUUGUAUUCAUUCCUAGAAUAUGUAACGUGGAAGUUCAUAGAUUAGCUAAACUUGCAGUUAGCGAUCAGAAAGCCGUAUUGUUUGGAUUGAGAAUAUUCCUAUAGAUGUAAAAUCUUAUCAUUUUUGAAGAAUUUUUUACUUUGAAAAUAAAAUAAUUAAGGGCCAUCUCUAUCGUUGCGAAUUGUAACUCGUAGACUUUGCGGUCCACAUUAUGAAUUUAAAAUUCUUGCAUGAUUAAUCACCCACAUGAGCAUGCUCCCCCAACCUGCCACAUCAUGUUACCACUUCUUCCAAUCUGUGUAUACACACACACACACACACACACCAGUAUGGCCUCCAUGCAAAUCACAAACGCAGUAUCUAAUAUUGUUUGUCACUGGCAAGAAACAUGAAUAUUAAAGCCUUCUUUGUUCUCUCCACAGUGCUCUCAUUGCUUCUCUUGUUAUGUAUCAUUUGAUCAGUAAUAAUGUUAGGUUAAUCACAAAUUCAUUAUAUAAAAUAUUUUGUACAAAAUUGAUAACACAUAAUGUACAGUAUCGAUGUGAUAAGAACACCACACAACCCGAUCAUUAUUUUAUAUUUCCAUUCAACCAAUACUAUUUUAUCACAUCAGCUUUAAGAGUAGCUUAAUUAUAGCUAGCUCUAGCAUUACUCGUUUUGAUUCAAAUGAUUUUCGAAUUUUUAUCAUUUGCAUGGUCAAUAUAUAGUUCCUCUCUCUUUUUUUUAUUUUUUAUUAAUUGUUUUCCUUGUGUGCAGUUUGCCAACAUGAUAGAUGCAAGAAAAUACCAUGGAGACGAUUGGAGUAUUGUCGUGAAAAAUCAAGACAUGCCUUGGGAAUCAACUCAAGGUCUCAUUCCCGAAGUUCAAGGCCCGACCAUCUCUAAAACCAAAGCCUAUUGCCAUACACAUGAUGAUUCUGAGCACACCAUGGAGAAGCCUUUUGUCAAUAAGAACUUUGAGCUGAUGCCUGAUGUUUCAAUCUAUGACAACGGUAUUAAGCCAACCAAACAAAAGGCUUUUGCCAAGCACUUCGAGUUCUUGCCUGAUGUUUCAAUUUACGACAACGGUAUUAAGCCAACCAAACAAAAGUUCUUCGCCAAGGACUUCGAGCUCAUGCCUGAUGUUUCUAUUUAUGACAAUGGUGUAAAGCUAGCCAAACAAAGGUUCUCCGCCAAGGACUUCGAACUCAUACCUGAUAUUUCAAUUUAUAACAAUGGUGUAGAGCUAGCCAAACAGAAGGCAUUCGCCAAAGGCUUCGAGCUCAUGCCUGAUGUUUCAAUUUAUGACAAUGAUAUUAAACCAACGAAGAAGAGUUCAUAUGCCAAGGACUUUGAGCUGAAGGCUGAUAUUUCAAUUCAUGAACCGACCGAACAAAAAUAGGUAAUUAGCAUUACGGAUCUGCAGCCAGAUGCUACAAUUUAUCAUAAUUAAAUAGAUGAUCAUGCUUGUAAUCAGGCGCAGGAUGGAGUCUCUUACCAUAUUUAAUGUUCUAGAAGAGUAGCCACAUACGUGCAAUAACGCUUUCCUUGUUUGUGUGUGUUGUCAAAAGCGCUGUUUCUAAAGUAAUGUAAUAAGUGCUGAAAUAACCCAUGCAAUAAAAUCAUGUCAUGCGUCUUUAAUUUUUUUUUUCUCUCUCUCUUAAACAAUCUUAUGAUAGAUUAUUUACAAGUUAUAAUUUAUAAAGAGAGAAACUAUAUUAAAAUAAUGCUUUUUACAUAAAUAUUCUAUCCAUUAAUCUCGUAUAGCUAAUUAAGUUUGUUUUUUUUUUUUUUAUUUACAACGACAUCCUUAGAUGUUUAAAUUGUUUUUUUUUUAAAGGUAAAAGGGUUGGGUCAAUCAAAAUUAAUUUUUUCACCCUGAUCUCUUUGAGAUUCGAACUUAGGUGGCUAGCUAACUAAGAUUAUUUGAAACCAUUCGGUUGGGUUUCUAGGGGCCUUGGAUGUUUAAAAUUUGUAUUUUGAAUUGUUAUUCAGAUGGAACAAUAUAAUUAACUUUAAUUUCAAAGUCAAUUUGACCCUAUUUAAUUUUGAGAUGCUGUUACUUUUAAACUAGCUACUUGGGAAAAAAAAAAAGUCGUAACCUUAAAAUAAAAAGUGAUACUGUGUGGAAAAUAUGAUUUUAAAUAAUAAUUUUGACAAAAUAGCAAAGAAAUAUUAUUUAAAUUAUUAUUACCAGCCAAACAAAAAUAGGUUUUUUAUUAUACAAAUGCAAGAUCAAAUCAACUUAAUUUUUGAGUUACAACAACUACUACUUACUAAACACUUUGAUGUCAAUACCAAAUAGGCCUCUUUUUUCCUCUCCCUCUCUAAUUUGUAAGACUACCCAACCAUAUAUUGUAUAAUAUUCAAUUAUUAUAUUAACUAGUUUUAUUUUCUUAUGAUCACAUGAUAUCUUUUUUUUUUUCAAGAAUCUGAACAGAUAAUGGUUUUAAAGCUCAGAAGUAGAUCUGAUUCUAAAUAUUUGGAAAUUGAAAAAAAAAAAAAAACUAAUUCACAUUUGCAGAAGAAGGUAUGUACUUGAUAACUUGAACGCCAUGAUGGUAUAUAAUUAAAUUUAACUAUUGUUAUAUUUUUAUUUAUUAAUCACUAAUUAUUCACGAUGAAUUUUAUUUGAAUAAGUUCAUAUCAUGAUAGAAUCUUAAUUCAAAUACAUAUGAAAAAAAAAAAUCUAUGACUGCACUAAUAAGAUAUUUCAUUUAAUCAUGUGAUAUUAAAAUGAAAAUUAUGAUAGAUAAACUUAAAUUUUCCAUUUUCCCCCCUUUAUCAUCUCACAUGGGCCACUUCAAUUCGCUGAAAUCCUGAUGCUUCGGCCUCCAGAUGUAAAAGAACAUGAGUCACAUAUAGUAUUGGUAGAUGCGUGAAUGGAUCACAUCUCACUCAACCAACAAAUUGCAUGUCAUCUGGAAAAUGAUUUAAAUAAAUGAACAAAUACUCAGUCCUCUAUUUUAAGUUAAGUAUUUGUUUAUUCCUUAUAUUUUAAAAAUAUCUCAAAAUAAGUUGUAGUUAAAUAUAUUACAUUCUUAAUCUUGUUUUUGCUUUGCUUUUAUAAUAAUGCCCUUAUAAUAAUAUUCUUGACAUUAAUUAAUUUAUCUAUAAAAUUUUAAUUAGAAAAUUAACCAAUAAUUAUUUAGUAAUAAAUUAACCAAUAAAUAUUAGUACAAAAGAACUAAUAUUUUUUGUACAUGUGCGACAAUCGUGCUAAUAAUUUAUUUAUAAAUAAAAUUAAUAUUAGUCAACUUAAAGUAAUGCUUAUCAUCCUUGCAAUAAUUUUACUAAUAAUUAUUUUAUAAAAAAUUAAUUUACCAAAUUAAUCCUAAAAGUAAAAUAAUAACAUAAAAAAAAAUUACUGUAAAAAUUUUUAUGCUACUUUGAAGGCUAAUUUGAUAAAGAAUGGAACUACUAGCACUCCUUCAAAAUCUUUUUUAAGACCCCUUUUUAAAUACACCCAAUCAAAUAAAUGAAAAAUUAUAUCACUUCUAAAAACAACCAUCUUUAUUCCACAAUUGUCCUUCAAUCUUAUCUCUCAUAAAAUGAUAAAAUUACAAAAAUAAAAAUCUUUUUGUGGAUACUAUUGCAAUAAUGAUCAUUAGCAUUCUUCACAAAUUUGAUUAACAAGUAUGGAAUGGUAUGUAACUUUAGAUUUCUAAAUUUUAACUUUUCUUUAUGUUUUGCAACAAAUAUACCUUCUAUUUUAAUAUAUGAUACCUAUUAAUUUAAUUUUUUUCAAAUAACAAAACUCACUUGUUCAAACAAACAAUGAGACCAAAAAAAGCAAGGGAAAAAAAGUGAACAAAUAAAAGGUAGAACUACUUGACACAUAAAAACUUUAAAAAAAAAUGAAAAAGAAGAGAUCUAGUAAAAGAAGUAUGAGUAUAAAAUAAGCCAGGCAAUGAAAGAAUCAUAGCUUUUCGACAAAUUCCAUGUCAAUGUCCUUUUGGAAUAAAUUUUUAAUGUUAUCUAUUUGAAUAAUGAUGGUGGUUGAGUUUCCACUUUCCAUUAUGCUCUCGAAUGUAAGCUUCUGAUGCGUCUUCUAAAAUAAUUCUAGAUAUUUUAUUUUAAAUUUAUUUGAAUUUGUAAGUUACCCUUUUAAUUGCGGUUAUCAUGUAAACAAUUGUUGCCAAAUCAUAAACAAAAUCCUGAGUAGGGACGAUAAUGGGACGGUUUUGAUCGAUGAUCCACUUAAUCUAAAUCUAAAUUUAUCAUAUUUGGAUCAGUAUAAAAUGAAUUUGGAGUGGGUACAUAUGAAUCUAGAUGAGUAAAUUCAAAACAAAUUUAAAGCACGUAUACAAAUCUAACUUAAAAUUCGGAUCCGUAUCCAUAUCUAAUUAGAAAUCUUUUAAUUUUAUUUUAUUUUUAAAAGUAUUAAACUAUCGAUGGUUUAAUACUUUUACAAUCAAAUUAAACUUAUACCUAGCUUACUGAAAUCAUACCACAUUUAUGAGAUGCAAUAUAUUAUCAGUUUUAUAUGAAAUUCAAAGUAUUAUUUUUAAUUUUAUUUAAGAUGAAUUAUGUGUUUUAGUUGAUAGUAAGACGUUUUUUUCUCAAAUAUUUUUGUGCUCUUAUUAUUCUUAUGAGGCUUGAAAGUUUAAUAAGAUAAAUUUAUUAAUAUUCUAUUAUAAUAUAUAAAAUUUUAAAAUUAAAAAUUGAUAAAUCCAAGAUAGAUUUGGAGCAAAUCCGAACCUUUAUUUUAAAUUUGAACUUAAAUAUACAGUAAAAAUCAUAAAUCUAUAAUGAAUUUAGAGUAAAUACAAAUCUCAAUUUUUAUUAUUAAUCAAGAAUUAGAACAGAAUAGAUCCAGCUGAUAUAUAUGUCCCAUUGUCAUCCCUGUGACUGAUGAAAAGAUAUAGGAAAAUAAACAGGAGUUUAAUAAGCUAGACAAUAAAAGAAUCAUAUAUAGCAAUGAUUGAUUCUUUCUUCCUAUCCUUAUGAAAUCUUUCUCAAUGUCUUUUCUACGAAAUCUUUUUUAAUGUCCUUUUCGAAAAUAUCACCCUUCAGCCAAUGACUUUGAGCUGAAGGCUGGUAUUUCAAUUCAUGAACCAACCGAACAAAAAUCGUUUGUCAACAAUAUGGAUCAGCAGCCAGAAGCUACAAUUUAUCAUUAUUAAAUAGGUGAUCAUGCUUGCAACCAGGCGCAGGACAGAGUCUCUGACCAUAUUUAAAUGUUGUAGAAGCGUAGCCAUAUAUAUGAAACGUUUCACUUUGUUUUCGUAUGUUAUCAAAGGCUCAGUUUUAAAAGUAAUAUUGUAAUAAGUAUUGAAGUGUCCCAUGCAAUAAAAUCGAAGUGUCCCAUGCAACAAAAUCAUGUCAUGCGUCUUAAAUUUAUUUUGCCCUCUUAUUUAUCCUAGAUGGUAAAUACUGUUAUGAUAGAUUAUUCAAAAGGUUAUAAGGGGAGAAGAUAAGUUUAUUUUUUUUUGGGGAAAAACAUUUCCUUGCUGAAAAAAGCAAAAAUUUACAUAAGUACUGCAAUGUCUGUGGGCGGCUCUUCCAACUGAAUAAGAUCGUUAAUCAAAGAGAGUGCUAAUUUUGCUAACUGAUAAGAAACUGUAUUACAAUUUCUAAUUUCUGAAAUGAUCCAUUCAAUCUCCUUUCUACUUGAUAAAACGCCCGUAAUUAGAUGGACAAGAUUUACUGAAUCAAAUUCCACAAUAAAAAGAGUUAAGCAUAAAUCUAUCGCCGGCUUGAUGCCUUCUAGGAUAGCUUCAGCCUCUGCAAACUCGAUGUCGCUAAGAAAAGAUUUCUUGUGGCUGAGCCAGCUAUAAAAUCUCCCUUGAAAUUUCCUAUAAUUGCACCCAAACCUGUAAUUCCAUUGGAGAUGUCAAUCGGUGCAUCAACGUUCAAGUUGUACCAAUGAUUAUCCGGUGGAAUCCAACUAACACCCUUCUUGGUUGGAGGGACUAGAAACUCUUGAAUUGGAGAGCCUUGAGCAGCAGUGUACGAAUUCAAAACAGCUUCAGCCUUGCAAAGAACACUCUUUGGGUCCAUCUUUUGAUUCUGAUAGAGCGCUAUGUUCCUAGAAUGCCAAAUAGACCAUGUAAUCAUCCCAAACGAUGGUAGUCCUCUUUUGACAGCCAAGAUUCCAAAUUCUUUGCAAAGAGAGCAAAAUCCAUAUGAGGGUUAUUCGUUACAUAAGCAGCCAAAGUUGACAACUUCCACACCUUGAUCGCAAACUUAUAGCCAACUAACUCAUGAAAGGUACCCUCAAUAGCACUAAAACAUCGAUGACAAUUUGGAGAAUCCACUACUUUUCAUUUCAAAAGAUUAUUUGAUGUAGAGAGUAUAUUACGUAGAGCUCUCCAAAAAAAAGAUCGACUUUAGAUGGAAUGGAUAAAAGCCAAGCGGGAUACCCCAAUUAGCAUAGCCAAAUGAACUUAGAGGGGGAAUUAGGAUAAGUAAGACUAAGGGCCACUUGUAACCACUCUUAAAAGUUUACAAAUUUAUUUUGUACAAACUGAUUUGACAUUAACUUAUUGAUUAAAUAAAAAUACAACAACAUGUUUUUAUAUUUAAAAUAUAUAUAUUCACAUAUACGAAGGUAUAUACUUGAACAAUAUGAGUAAUACAUGUGAAUUAAAAUCAUCUCCUAAUCUAAGCUCCAUUAAUUAAUUUUAAAAAAAACUUGUCACAUGUUUUUAGUAUAGUGUAUAAUUAUUGUUAUGUUUUUAUUUAUUAAUUUCCAAUUACCUGCUAUAUAUCUUACUCAACAAUGUUUUGAUCAUGAGAGAAUUUUAAUUCAAAUACAUAUGAAAAAAAAAGAAGAAGAAAUCUGAGACCAUACUAAUAAGAGAUUUCCUUUCAUGUGAUUUUAAGAUCAAAAUUAUGAUAGUAUGCAAAACUUGGUUGCGUUUAGUAUUGUUCUUUAAACAUGUUUUUUGUAUUUAUUUUAUAAUAUAGAUAUGAUUAAUAUUUGAUGAAUUUGAAAAUUUGUUUGGUAUAUAGUAUAUAGUAUGAAUUUGACCACUAAAUAUUAAUAAUUAUAUUUAUAUACAAAAUUAAAAAAAAAUAAGGAUUUCUCUACCUUAACGUUUAAUGUAAGGUACAUCCCUUACAAAUUGAGCUAUAAGUCCACUUGAGCCCACAGCCAAUAGAGAGGUUGUACCUUACAUUAAAUGUAAGUAGAGAUGGCCAAUGGGUCGGGCGGCACAAGGCACAGCACGUGUCCGUACAACAUGGCACGACACGAGCACGUUUUCGGUAGGGCACGAAGCACGGCACGGCACGCAAAAAGGCACGUAAUAAGCACGCUUCAUUGAUAGGCUAAGCACGUAGCCCGUGGGCCAAAGUAUAUCAAAAUAAAAAAUUUUAAUGAAAAAUAAAUAUAAAAUAUCAUGAUUUUAUAAAUAUCUUGAAAAUUAAAUUUUUUAAUAUAUUUUUUUAGCAUAGGUUUUUUAAAAUUAAUUUAAGUCCUAGUUUAAAUAAAUAUUCUAAUUUUUUAUGUUUAUAAUUUAUUAAAUGGAAUAAAUAAAUAUCAUGAUUUUAUAAAUGAUAAAUGAAAAAUUUUACGACAUUAAUAUUUCAUUUAUGAAAUCAUAACUUAGUUAAUAGUUAAUGGAGAUAUGUUUCAUUUAGUGAAUGAAAUAUUUUCAUAUUUAUGCACAAAAAAAUAAAAUUAUGAACAAAAUAUUUUUAUGAUAAAUUAAAAAUUACAUUUUCAUUCAAUGGAGUUUAUGUGCAAUUAUAAUAUUAGUAGCUCAAAUAAAAUUAGAUGUAAUUGUAUUCUAGAAUUGUAAUUUUAUUUCAUUAAUUUAUACUAUGAUCUAUGAAAUUAUAUUAUUAUUGUCGUUGUUGUUGUUGUUAUUAUUAUUAUUAUUAGGCUGGUAGGGUUAAAAAAGCACGCCAGGCACGUGGACUUUUUAGGCAUACUGGACAUGUGGACAAAGAAAAAAGGUUGGUGGCUUUUUUUUGGCACGGCCCACGGCACGAGUUUGGACAUGUGGACAAAAAAAAGUUGGUAUGGGUUUUUUUAGCACGAACCACGGCACGGUACGGCACGAGUGGGCUCGUGCCGUGGGCCGUGCCGGCUCACGAGCCCGUGGGCUGACAUUUUGUGGGCCGUGCCGUGCUGGCCAUCAUUAAAUGUAAGGUAACAGCUCCCAAAAAAUAAAUGAAAGAGAGAGGCAACAUAGCAUAAUACGGGCCGGACCCACAUCUUCAUAAAACUAUGUCAUAAAAGCAGUGGUAGUUCCUAUGAACAAAGUGAAGAAUAAAGAUUUGAUGCUGUCUAAUUAUCUUCGUUAACAUUGUAAAAUAGAUAUGGUUUGCUUUCAUAAUAAUAAAAAUGUUACUGUUACUGAGGCUUAUCAAACAUUUUUUUCUAUUCUUAUAAAAUAGAAAAUGAGUGAUGAAAAACAAUACCAUACAGCCCAAAUUUUUUCCAUUUUUACCCCUUUAAUCAUAGCCUAUCGGCCUCUCCAAUUAGUUGAAAUCUUGAUGAUUCGACCACAGUUGUAAGAGAAAUUCUAGAAUAUAUCUAUUGUAUUAUAACUAAUUAAUGCAUGCACGACAUGCGUAAUUGAGUUUAAUACAACCACCACUUGCAUGAUAGUUUACAAAAUAAAUGCACACAUCAUGAUAUUAUUGCUUGUUGUAUGGGUGACAUAGUACAACAGAUGUAUUCUAGAAUUUCUCCAAGUUGUAAAAUACCAUUUGAGUCACAUAUAUUAUUGGUAGAUGAGUAGAUCGCAUCUCCCUCAACCAACGAAUUGCAUGUCAAUGUGAAAAUUGAUUUAACUGUUUAGUCUGUUUUUCAAUGAGACGUUUUCGUUCAAACUUUUACCUUCAAUCAAUGGGACCGAAGAAAGUAGGAAAAAAAAAAUUAAACAAAUAAAAGGUAGAACUAGUUGACAGACAAAAUUUUAUCAACAUUUUGAAACAACCAACAUUAAAAAGAAAUAAAAAAAUAAAAGAAGAGAUCUAGUAAAAGAAACAUGAGUUUAAUAAUUAAGCUAGAAAAGGAAAGAAUCUUAGUAAGCUUUUCAACAAGAUCCUUUUCAAUGUCCUUUUCGACAAAAUCUUUAUUGUCAAUAUAUUGAAAAAUGAUGGUGGUUGAGUUGUCACUAUGUAUCUCGAAUUUAAGCUUCUGAUACGGUCUUUUAAAAAUAAUUCUGGAUAUUUUAUUUAAAUGGUAACUUUUAAUAGUGGUUAACUUGUAAACAAUUGUUGCCAAAUCAUAAACAAAAUCUUAUUGUCUCACGGAAAGAUACUGGAAAAUAAUCAUGAGUUUAAUAAGCUAGACAAUGAAAGAAUAAUAUAUACAUGUUAUAUAGUAACGAUUGAUUAUUUCUUCUUACCGCUAAGAAAUCUUUUUCUAUGCCUUUUUUCGACAAAAUCUUUAAUGUUAUAUAUUGAAUAAUGAUGGUGAUUAAGUUUCCAUUAUGCAUCUCUCAUGUAAGCCUCAGUCCCUAGAAUUAACUAGCUCUCAGGAUUCCCUGCAUCAGUUAACUACAGCUUCCAGGUUUAUCAAUAAUUAUGGUACACCAUCCUCCAAUAUCUGUGCAUAUAUAUUUUUUAAACAGGAAUUUUGGAGUUUGGAUCAUAUUAAAAUAAAGGAUAAAUUAAAAAUAAGACAAACAUACUCUAAACAUAUUUUAUUUUAUCAUGUAAUAUAUUGAAUUUCAUAUUUUUCUGUCUUUUUAGCUUGUUAUAACGAUCCUUUAUAAGAAAUUAAAUGUAUCUUGAUUCUCUCCCACACUAACUUUAGAAGAGAAAUUAUUUAAUUUGCUUUAUUCUUUUACUACUACUACUGCGUCAAAAUAACCAACAAUUGACGACAACAAUUAUUGAAUAUGUAACAAAUUUACAUACAUUUUGACGACAUCUUUACUUGUUUGUGUUGGCAUCCUUAUUGGCAAAUUACAACAUCGUUCAGUCUUCUUAUAAUUAAGCAAUUGUCUAUGUAACAUAAAUUAUGUAUUAAGAACAUCAAUAUGGCGUGGAGCAUUGCGCAUAGAAGAGAAGAAGUAAAGUCUUAGGCGUCUACUCCAUGUGGGAAACAUGGGAUUAUCACAAAGAGAGAUUUAAAGAUUAUAACAAAAGAGAGAUUUUAACUAACUUGUUAUGGAGGGAUGAGAUAACGAUCAAGUUGGCAUAAUCUGUAGAGAUAACGACGAGUUUGGAAUAAUCAUGUGGUGAUAAUAUUAUGAUAUUCUGCCUUUUGAUCAACUGAGCACGCUCCCUCUCACAACACAACUCUCUUCAUAAGAAUUGGCCAACAUGGAUUGUCACUUUUCAUGUUAAUUUGAUAUUACCUUGAAUGGCAUAUUAAUUUGAUUUGAAAAAUGGAACGAGAGUAGAGGAAAAAAGGAGAAUGAAAAGAAAUAAGAAAAAAAAUGAUGAAUUUCAUAUAAAAAAUCAAAUAAUGAAAUAAUAAAAUUGAGGUCGAUUCUCUUUUUUUUCUCUUUUUUCUCUAAUAAAAAUAUAUCAGAUUAAUGACAAAGUAUUGAUAUUUGAUCCCCUCAGUUUCUCUUAUUAUCUCCCACUUCUCUCAUUUUAAUUUGAAAAGUCAAAAAUACCUACCAAAAUAAUUUUAAGUUUUAAAUUUUACCCUUUCUUCUUUCUCUCCUCUCUCUUAUUCUCCCGACUUCCCUUCAUCUUCGUUUUCUUUAAAAAUUGAAGAUUAGUACACUUUCCUUCAUUUUUUGAUCUUUCUGUAUCGAUGAGAGCAAUAAUUGACAUCAUCAAACAAUCCUUUUCUACCCAAAUCAUGAUUAUAAACAAAAGUAAAAAAUAGCAAUAUCAUGAUAUGGAAUCUUGAUCAUAUCUCAUGAUCCCUCUUCAGCUUCUAUGUUAAUCAAAAGAAAAAAAUAUAAUCGAUUAAAGAUUAAAUUUAAAUUUUAAAAUGUUGUCCUUUUUUUGGGGGGGGGGGGGGGGGAUAAAAAAGAGUUUGAGAUCAAGAUGACAGUGUUGCAUAAAUAAUUAUUAUUAAAAAUUAAAGAAACGGCUUGCAUGUCCCACUUAUUGCUAAGAAGAGAAGUGGUUCGCGCCGGCCAGUUCCAAGAAGACAAGUGGUGGUGUCAGUGCAUGGUUAGUAAUUAUUGGGGACUAGAACUAAUGAUGGUGAUUAAGUUUCCAUUAUGCAUCUCUCAUGUAAGCCUCAGUCCCUAGAAUUAACUAGCUCUCAGGAUUCCUGCAUCAGUUAACUACAGCUUCCAGGUUUAUCAAUAAUUAUGGUACACCAUCCUCCAAUAUCUGUGCAUAUAUAAUUUUUAAACAGGAAUUUUGGAGUUUGGAUCAUAUUAAAAUAAAGGAUAAAUUAAAAAAUAAGACAAACACAUACUCUAACAUAUUUUAUUUUAUCAUGUAAUAUAUUGAAUUUCAUAUUUUUCUGUCUUUUUAGCUUGUUAUAACGAUCCUUUAUAAGAAAUUAAAUGUAUCUUGAUUCUCUCCACACUAACUUUAGAAGAGAAAAUUAUUUAAUUUGCUUUAUUCUUUUACUACUACUGCGUCAAAAUAACCAACAAUUGACGACAACAAUUAUUGAAUAUGUAACAAAUUUACAUACAUUUUGACGACAUCUUUACUUGUUUGUGUUGGCAUCCUUAUUGGCAAAUUACAACAUCGUUCAGUCUUCUUAUAAUUAAGCAAUUGUCUAUGUAACAUAAAUUAUGUAUUAAAACAUCAAUAUGGCGUGGAGCAUUGCGCAUAGAAGAGAAGAAGUAAAGUCUUAGGCGUCUACUCCAUGUGGGAAACAUGGGAUUAUCACAAAGAGAGAUUUAAAGAUUAUAACAAAGAGAGAUUUUAACUAACUUGUUAUGGAGGGAUGAGAUAACGAUCAAGUUGGCAUAAUCUGUAGAGAUAACGACGAGUUUGGAAUAAUCAUGUGGUGAUAAUAUUAUGAUAUUCUGCCUUUUGAUCAACUGAGCACGCUCCCUCUCACAACACAACUCUCUUCAUAAGAAUUGGCCAACAUGGAUUGUCACUUUUCAUGUUAAUUUGAUAUUACCUUGAAUGGCAUAUUAAUUUGAUUUGAAAAAUGGAACGAGAGUAGAGGAAAAAAGGAGAAUGAAAAGAAAUAAGAAAAAAAAUGAUGAAUUUCAUAUAAAAUCAAAUAAUGAAAUAAUAAAAUUGAGGUCGAUUCUCUUUUUUUUCUCUUUUUUCUCUAAUAAAAAAUAUAUCAGAUUAAUGACAAAGUAUUGAAUUGAUCCCCUCAGUUCUCUUAUAUCUCCCCACUUCUCUCAUUUUAAUUUGAAAAGUCAAAAAUACCUACCAAAAUAAUUUAAGUUUUAAAUUUUACCUUUCUUCUUUCUCUCCUCUCUCUAUUCUCCCGACUUCCCUUCAUCUCGUUUUCUUUAAAAAUUGAAGAUUAGUACAACUUUCCCUUCAUUUUUGAUCUUUCUGUAUCGAUGAGAGCAAAAUUGACAUCAUCAAACAAUCCUUUUCUACCCAAAUCAUGAUUAUAAACAAAAGUAAAAAAUAGCAAUAUCAUGAUAUGGAAUCUUGAUCAUAUCUCAUGAUCCCUCUUCAGCUUCUAUGUUAAUCAAAAAGAAAAAAAUAUAAUCGAUUAAAGAUUAAAUUUAAAUUUUAAAAUGUUGUCCUUUUUUGGGGGGGGGGGGGGGGGGAUAAAAAAGAGUUUGAGAUCAAAGAUGACAGUGUUGCAUAAAUAAUUAUUAUUAUAAUAAUUAAAGAAACGGCUUUGCAAUGUCCACUUAUUGCUAAGAAGAGAAGUGGUUCGCGCCGGCCAGUUCCAAGAAGACAAGUGGUGGGUGUCAGUGCAUGGUUAGUAAUUAUUGGGGACUAGAACUGAUUGCCAAGAGUGAGGGUGCAUUUAAUAUUGAGGUUGAGUAACUUUUAAGAUACUGUACUAAAGUGUUUGGUAAACACUAAUUACGGUAGCUUGGAAACUAUGGUGGUAUUUGUUUUUUAACUUAAUGACUUAAAGUGACUUAACUUAAUUAAUUAAGUUAAUUAGAGGUGUUUGUUUUUAUAACUUAAUGAGACUUUUUAGAUAAUUUGACUUAAUAAAAUAAGCUAAUUUUUUGGCUUUUUACUUAAUGGAGAAAUCUGAAUUAAGUUAAUUACUUGCUAAUGUCAAAAAUAUCUCUGUUUUAUAAUUAUUUUUAUGUCUAUCCCAAAACUCACCCAUAAAUAUUUACCCCACAUAAAAAUAUCCCUGUUUUUCUUUCUAUAUUAUAUACGAUAAAAUUUGAAAAUUUAUGGUAUUUAUAUAUUAAAAUUCUAAAAUAAUUAUGUAUUCACGUGAAUAUAGUUUUGCUUAUAAAUGUUAAAAUAUUAUGGUAUUUAAUAUAUUAUUUAUUGACAUUUCAAAUUUAAUAAGGCUACAAAUGUAAAAGUACAUAUUUUCAGCUUUUUAAGUUGAAAAAAACAACAGCUUAAUACUUAUUUUCCGAGAUUCAUACGAAAAAACAAACAUAUUAUUCAGAUUCAGACAUUCAGAUCUAUUAAGAAUUCAGACUAAUUCAGGUUUAUUCAGAUUUUAGAUAAAAAAAACAAACGCCACCUAUGUUAAUAUGAUUUUUUUCUUAUAUAAUAAAAAAUUUAUUAUAUCUUUAAUAAUUUGUCAAAUUAUUAUUUAAAAUUUAUAUAUACUAUAUAUUAUUAAUUUUGUUUCAUAUUACAGUUUUUUUCAUAGCAGUUAUAACUUAAAAGGUAUAGCACCUCAAUUUCAAACAGGACCUGAAUCUUGUUCAACAAGCAACAGAUUUAGCACCGAUGAGAGAAGAACAAAUAUUAAUUUAUUUUUUUUAAUGAGGGCAAUUCUGAAUAUAAUUAUAACUAGUAAAAUGGGAGCUAACGAGAUAAAUUGAGAGGUUUAAUAUCUUUACUCUUAAUAUAAAAAAUAACCACAUCGAAGUGCACUGUUAAAUAAAUAAGUGCCAUCACUAUUUAUGCAAUUUACAUGAUAUUAUGAUUAAUCUUGCAUAUGAUUAUUUAUUAAUAAAAAUAUGUAACAUGUGCUAGCACAUACUAUUUUCCUCUAAAUUUCUUAUACCACAUUUUUUCCUAUAAAUAGAAAGAGGCACACGUCUUCCACGCAAAUCACACAAGUAAGACUUAGUAUAAUUAGAAACAUGAAUCUCAAAGCUUUCUUUGUUCUCUCCGCAGUGCUCUCUUUGCUUCUCUUGGUAUAUAUGCAUCUCUUUUUUAGGAAAAUUUAACAUAAAGGAUACCUAAUUAAGUUAGUUUUGAUGAGAUUCUCUUUAUCAUUUGUUUGAUCUAAUUUUUUUUUUUCCUCUUGUUCAGUUUGCUAACAGAACAGAGGCCAGAAAAGAUCAGGGAGAAUAUUGGAGAGGCUUCGUCAAAGAUAGCGACGUGCCAGAAUCAAUUCAAAUUCAUGUUCGCCAGGAUCCUGUCUCAACUGCCUCUGAUGCCAAAGCCCACUGCAAAGAACCUGAAGAUUUAGAGCACAAGAGAGAAAAGACUUAUGUCAAGGAUUCUGACGCAACGAUUGAUAUCUUAGUUUAUCACAACAGUAUUAAACCAACUGAACAAAAGUUAUUUGGCAACCACUUCGAAAGCCCGGAUGCUACAAUUUACCACAAUGACAUUAAACCAACAGAACAGAAGUUAUUGGCAACCACUUCGAGUCAAGCCCGGAUGCUACAAUUUACCACAAUGACAUUAAACCAACAGAACAGAAGUUAUUUACCAACCACUUCGAGUCAAGCCCGGAUGCUACAAUUUACCACAAUGAUAUUAAACCAACAGUACAGAAGUUAUUUGCCAACCACUUCGUGUCAAGCCCGGAUGCUACAAUUUACCACAACGAUAUUAAACCAAUUGAAAUGAUUAAAUCUUUUGUUAGCAAAUUCUUGUCAAACCCUGAUGCUACAAUUUAUCAUGAGUAACCAGACUCUGCUUUCAAUCGUGUGGAGAGAGCCCGUUAUCCAUCUGUAAUAUUUGUGCGUACGUGUGAUGCUCUCUUUCUAUAAAUAAGUUAUGAGGAGUGCGGUUGUUUAAUGCUCUAAGGCACAAGCUUUGUAAGAAAGUGUGUUUUUAUUGUAAAAUUGAAUAAAAAUUUGUGCCAAGUUAAUUAAUUAUCCCUUUUCUAGUGAUUUUUUUUUUUCUAAUGCUUUGAUUAUUUCCACAAAAUCUUUCGUAAGGAAAGGCCUAGCUACUUGAAUCAAUUUUCUCCAUUUCAACGUUAUUUAGUAUAAUAAUAAUACAAAAAAUCAUUAAUCUCAGUAAUUGAUAAACAAUAUUCUUGCUAUUAUAUUGAGAAUUAAUUCCUAAUCUGAGAAAAUAAAUUAACAAUUAAAAAAUAAUAAAAGAUCGUGAACUACUUAGAUUUAUGGCCCUCUCACAUGUCGAUGGUACUUUACAUAAUUAGAAGCCUUUUUAUUAAUUUUAACAGACACCAUUCAAUCAACUUUGGUGACAUACUGAUAAUUGAUGCAAAAUUCUAUUUGGGGAAAAAAAAGUAAAAGAAAGAACUCCUAUUUUAGCUCUUAAAUCUUAAUUUUUCAAAUUUUAGAAGGAUUAAUGAUCAACAUUAUUUAGCCUAUUUUAUUUAAUUUAUAACUAUAGAAAUCCUAAAGCUGAUGGAGUAUACUUAAUACCUUAUUUUCCCCAAUCACAACCGUCUAAAUUCCUGAAACAUUUCAUUUCUUAAAUUUCAACGGUACAGAUUAAUUCUCUUACGAAAACUCAGCGACUUAUCCUGGACCGCCGCUACUAAAAUACAUAAGAGUAAAAUACUAUAGUAUUCCGGGACAAAUUUAUUUCUUCCACGACGCAAUAAAAUGCUGCGUCCAAUAACAUUCUGUUUCCUAAAGCUUACCCAAAUCGCAGAUAGGAACAUGGUUUGCAAUAAUUUUUCUAACAGAUCCUGCAUCAAAUUCGUUAAAAACUGGUUUAAUUUUUAUUAAAUAAUUUUAAGUAAAUUGAAUAAGAUAAAAAAUUUAAAAAGUUAUUAUUUUAUAAUGAAAAAGCUAGAUCAUCCAUACGUAAUAAAAAAUAGUACGCAUUCACAACUUAAUGCAAUAUAAUCUAGACAACCAAAUAUAUUUUAUGUAUUUUUUACAAAUUGCUUUUAGUAUAAGCAAAUAAGGUGGUUGUCUAAACAUUCAUAUUUUUGGAAGGUCUCAAUUUUUAAUAUUUUCUUAAUAAUUUCUAAUUAAUAAAGAUAUUUUUUUAACUUAUGUAUUGUAGAAAAACCUAUUAGACAUUUUUAUUAUUAACAACUAUACUACAAUUAAGAGUCUUUUUUGUAUAGAAAAUCAAUAUUUGUAACCUUAUUGAUAAAGAGAAAUGAUUAAUAAUAUUUUUAACCAUUAAUUCAUUCAUUAUUAGUUUUCUCAAGAAAAAAAGUUAAAUUCUUUACCUUUUCAUUUCCUAAAAAAAACUUGAUUAUUUAACAUUGAAAUCUUUGACUUUUAUUAUUCCUUUAGUUUCUAUUAGAACCUUAUAAUAUAAAAAAUCAAUAGAUAAAAAAAAUUUGUUCCUCCUUUCUUUACGAAGAAAAUUAUUAUAUUUAUUGGUUAAUUUAAAAAAGAAAAAUUAGUUUCUUGAAGUAUGAAGACCAUAUCUAUUAUCUGAUAAUCAAUUCAUGAUCUCGACUUUCUAGCUAUAUUCUGUCAUUCUAAAUAUUUUAUUUGAAAAUAAUAUUGUUUUAUUUAUUUGUUUGUUUGCUUUUUAAGAGUUCUGAUGGAAGUAAAAAAAACAAAUCUUUUUUACUAAUUUUUUAGGUUUUUUUUAAAAGAUUUUUUAAGAUAUUUUUUUAUUACUGUUAAAAUUUAAGAAUUAAAGAUAGAAUGAAUUUUUGAGUCUUUUCAUAUUUCUUUGAGUAUUGAAAUUACAAAAUAAAAUAUGGCCUUACAAAAAAAAAAUUCGCCUAAGACCCCAUAUACUCUAAUGCCGACUCUGGGUGAAAUUAUUGAUUUUAUUAAUAAUAAUAUGAUGUAUACUAACCAAUGUACAAAACAGUAGUGGGUGACAUAAAUUAGAAUUGUGUUGCAAAAACAAGAGGUUUGAGUGAAAAAGAAUUUACAAACUCACAUUACAAUGUUAUAUAGUUGCCAUAUGUCUCACAUUUUCAAAUGAACAAAAUAUAAUAAAUACAGUAUAAUCUUUAUAACUGAAUAUUCAAUAGAUUAAUAAUCUCUACUGUGUAAUAAUUUUUUAUGGUCAUGACUUAGGCCAAUAGGUUAAAUUAAUAAUUGCAAUAAAUUAAUAAGAUGAUAUUUUUUAUGAAAACCCUUAUAUAACUAUGUGGCUCCAUUCAUAUCAAAAUUAAUAAUUUUUUAAAAUUAUAAAUAUAAUUGACAAUAAUUUUUUAUUUAUUAAAAUGUGAGUCGAUUAUUAUCUUGUUCCCUUAUUACUUCUUUUCCUUGAAAUAUAAAUCUAUUUGAAUCUCGUAUCUAAUUUUUCUUAUUACAUCUAAAAGUUUUGGGAUUGAAUUCUUGAAUUAUAAUAAAAAAAAAAUUAUGAAGUGCUUUCGUACACAUAACUGGCUCCAAAGCAAUUGUAUCAUUCUCAACUUUUAUCAUCGACAUGAUUUUAAGUGAUGUCAGCAGUGGUUUAAUUUAUUCUAAACUUAAAAUCUCUCAACUUACAUCAUUUUUAUUAUGAUAAUCCAAGAGGUAAUUAAGUAGAUAAAUACAAUACAGUUAUUGUUUUGGUUUAUCUAAUAUCUAUUUAGUAGAUUAAUUCAUAUUCAAUAAAUUAGAUUAGUAAAAUAUAACGAAAUUUUAGUUAAUUAAAUGUACGUUUAUUGAACUAUAAAUGAACUCUAGAAAUUAAUAAAUUAUUAAUUUACUAAUUACAUAAUAAUUCUUUUAAUUAAUAAAAUUUAAAUAGUCCCAAUGUUAUUAAUUCAUAGAAGUUAUAUGAAAUAUGUGUCAACUAUAUAAUAUCGUAGUUUGUAAACAAAACAUAACUCUUUUGUUAAUUGAAUACUAACGUAAUGCUAUAGAAAUAACAUAUGUGACCAAUUUGCAUAAAUGUAUACUCUCUGUAUCUUAUUACAAAUGCUUUAUAAAUCAGUGACUCAGAUGUUAUUAUCUAAACUCGUGGAAGCAUUACUUUUGUCCCUGCCAAUAUCAUUCAGAUAAAUAGUUGUUGUGCGUUCAGAUUCACCAGGAAUGCUUACGCAAAACAUAGACUGAACCCAAGAGCUUCGAAACUCGAAACUGAACCAAAUCAUUCUAAUGGAAGAGAAACGCCGGGAAGCCAGAGCGCAACCGCGGCUACGAGCUCGGCCGCAGCUGGAGCCGAGUCAGCGGCAUCCGAGCCGGCUUCGCUCGGCGCCGAGCCGGAGCGCACAAAAGGAAAGCCUCGGCGCUCUCAGCGACUAACGCUUCAUCCACGCCGUCGAAGCGCAUGACUCGCGAGAAGAAUUUAGUUGCUCACACUCCGAUCUACAACCAUAACGUUACAUCUUGACAUUUGUAGUAAGAACGUGAGAGGAUACCUGGAGUGUAUUGGGAUUUGGGCGGAAGAGAAAGGAGCCCUUGGAAUUGGGAAACAAAUGAAAUUAUCUGCAUGGUCCUUGUACUCGUGGAGGGACUGUAACUUCUGAACCAACAAUGCUGAAAAUGCAGGGUCAAAAAUCAACAUUAACUUGAUGAAUAAUUGUUUGAAAAAAAAAAAAAGCAAGAAAACUUGAUUAAUAUAAAAGAGAGCAAAGGAGCACAACCAUACAGAAGUUGUAUAAAGGAAUAUUAAUCAAGCUUGAUUAAUAUUCUUCUUCUAUCCAACACCACAAGAUGAAACACAGUAUUCCUGUUGCAGUAUAUGGUGAGAACUGUGAAGUGCAGGAAGUAGUUUCCUAAGAGAGAUGAUUGAAUGCUCUUAAUUUUUUUUUUCAGAAAAUCAUUUUAUUUUUAAUAAAAGUUUAAUUUUUUUUAAUAAAAAUUUUUAUUUAUUUUUUAUUAAGUUGUGUCUCAUAUUUACUAAUAAAGGAAGUUAUUUGGGUAUAUAAGUAGGAUGUCUCAUCUAACAUGCUAGUAGGAUAAAUCUCUCAUCUAAUAUGCUAGUAUUUUGGGUUAAAUACCUAUAAAUUCUAAGCCGAGUCCACAACAGUCCCCAAAAUAACUGGAUUUAAGUCCUAGCUACACCAGUAGAUUGAAUAGAAGUGCAAAUAAGUUUAACUUUUUUGUCAUUCAUUUUAGUCUUUUUUUUUUUUUUUUUCACAUACAUUGAAAAAGGAUAACUCUGUCGUGAUUGCCAUGGCAGAGCCUAUUUCAAACGAUGGUGUAUGCUAAAGGAAAUUAUCAUGAGAUGAGUGAUAAACCAUACAAUCAGUAGCUACAGCCCACGAUUAAUCAGCCACAUGGCCACAAAUAUUAUUGGCGGCAAAUAUAUCAACAAAAUCACAAUAAAGAUGAGCAUCCUCGAUUCCAUUCCUUAAUGUAAAUAGGACAGCCUGUCUAGCCAUUACUUUAAGAGAUUUGGCUGGCUUUGACACUUGUAUAUAAGCUUGUAACCCUCUCAUUCUUUACAAGAAAUAAGAUAAUAUUUUCAGCUUAAUAAUUCUUUUCAGUGAGAUCAAAGAAAUGUAAAGAGAUAUAGUCACUACUACAAAAAUGUAAAACAAUGACCCAUAUGUUAUGACGGUUCUUCUAAACAACCGUCAUUAAAGAUAUUUAAUGACGGUUAUUAUGUGAACAGUCAUAAUAUAUACCACUUAUAAUGACGGUUAUGUAAUAAAACCGUCAUUAAAUGUCAAAUAAAAUUUACACUUAGUUUUAAUGACGGUUCAUUUAUAAAAACCGUCAUUAAAAGUCACUAUUUUUAAUGACGGUUCUUAUAUACAACGGUCAUUAUAUGUGUAGUUAAAAAUAAUAUUACUUUUAAUGACGGUUUUUUAAUAACCGUCAUUAAAAAUAAUAAUUUUUAAUCACGGUUUUUACAUAUAACGGUCAUUAUAUGUGUAAUUAAAAUAGUACUACCUUUAAUGACGGUUUUUUUAAAACCGUCAUUAAUAAUUUUUAAUGACGAUUUUUACAUUAAACGGUCAUUAUAUGUGUAAUUAAAAUAAUACUACCUUUAAUGACGGUUUUGUUAAGAACCGUCAUUAAAAAUAAAUUUAUUUUUAAUGACGGUUCUUAACAAAACCGUCAUUAAAAAUCAUACUUUUUAAUGACCGUUAUAUAUUAUAACGGUCAUUAUAUAUAUAAUUAAAAUGCUUUUAAUUUUAAUGACGGUUCUUUAAGAACCGUCAUUAAAAAUUGACAUUUUUAGUGACAGUUGUAUAAAACAACCGUCAUCGUAUAUAUUGAUAUAGUUAUAAAAAAAAAAAAAAAUUGGCCUUAUACUGAACACCAAAUCCCUAAAAUUACAGAUAAUUUGUAAACAUUAAAAGUAAUGGCGCAAGCACGCACGCCGCCGGUACACUUAGCCCAUGCAGCAGCAACCGAGCACGGUAGCAACAGGCCACCAGCAGUCGCUCUCUCUCUCACGCACACGCAGCAGCAAGCCAACACCAAUAGCCCCUCUUUCUCAUGCUCACUCUCUACUAUGCCCUCUUACGUACUCAAGAAAACUCUAACCCAUAUCCAAACCCUCGCCGUCGAAGAAAACCCAAUCCUUAAUGGCUUGAAAUUAAAGCCUCCACCGUCAAUCACCAUCGAACCAAAUAAACUCUAGCCUUACCAUCACUCUUCGUUUGACUCGCUGAAGAAAGCACUCUAUUAGGUGAGUCUCUGUUGUUUGAUAAUAUAUCUGCACUCUUUGUUGGCCGAAGCUUUUAGACAAUUGCUUUGAUUCAAUUGCUUCGAUUGGUUAGUUCUCUGUGAUUAAUUAGUUAGUUACUUUUAAUUUCAUAUUUUCAUCUCUAACAGUGAAUUUGGGAGUCGAUUUCUCUGUCGGAUUUGUAAUUUUUGCUACAGAUCAAAAACAUCUUGAAGGUGUUUUCAUAUCUAACAACUUGAACUAUCAUUUAUUUUGUCUUGUUAAUGUUCAAUUUUUUUUUCUUUUUUUAUUAGUAUGACAAUUAGUCGAAUGUGCUUGCACAUAAAACAAUCUUUUAACUUGGCGUUGGAAUAUUUGUUUUGAGUUGUGUCCCCUUAAUCAAUGACCAUACAAAAGUUCCCCAUGAUAAAGUGUUUAGCCCUAUUAAUGCCAUAAAGUCUUGCUCUCAAUUUUUCUGAUUAUGCCUAUGGAUUGAUUACCUAUUUCAUUUACAAAUUCAAUUGGCAAAUGUACAAUGCCUGCAUGACACUCACAUUUGGGUUAUGAUGGUAGUCAUUAUGAGGAAGAAUGUUAGAAUAACAUCAGGGGAAACAUCUGGGAGAAGGUAUGUACUGUCAAGCUCUUUGUUAGAAUCAUCACGAAAUUUAUAUUGGAUCUUGGCUGUUCUAUGUGAUGCAUUUUGGAUUUGCUCUUACUAGACAUGCAAAAACCUGUAAAAUGUAUUUUUUUUUUCCAUUUUAGAUUUACUAUCUAGUAUCUUGUAGGUUUAAUCUAAAAUAGAAACCAUUGAGGAUACUGGACACAAUUCUAAUGAAGAGAAAAGAUGUUAGACUUUAGUAUUCAACCUUUUUUUUUUAGCCAUAUUUCUAGACCCCAAGUUUAUGUCAUGAUAAUUGUGUGAUUGAUAAGAUAUUUUGGUUUUGGACUUUAUCUCAUGGAUUUAGAGUUCGAUUAUAUUUGGAAGUGGAAUAAUGCAUUCAUUUACAUAUGAUGUUUGAUGAAGUUCCCAUAAAAUUAAUUCAAUUAUAUAUGUUUAUGGUUCUAAGGAAGCGGGGCAAAAAUUUUAUCAGUGGGUUGAUUUCACUAGUUUAAGUUAGUAAAGCAAAGAAAUUGUCUUUAUGCACUUUAACUUUCCUCCAUUUAAGGUGAAAAAAUUAUUGAAGCUUUUAGAAGUGAAUUGUUCAUUUUGUUUGUGCACUUAUGCAGAUGGAUUUACUUUUGGCUGCUUAACCCUUCCUCACUUAUAUUUUUUCAGUUUAAAUUGCAGUGUUUUGCUGCUGUGCAACAGCACAAGAGGCUGUUUUAUUGUUGUUUCUGUAAAAACACAGCACCAGGAAGCGUCCAGGUAAUGUUUCGCUGCUGUUAUGCAGUAAAAACAACACCUGAAAGUUUCUAGGUGCUAUUUUUACUGCUGUUUACGCAGAAACACAGCACCUAAAAGUGUCUCUAGGUUCUGUUUAGCUGCUAUUAUGCAGCAAAAACAGCACCUGGAAACUUCCAAGUGCUGUUUUUAUUGCAUUUUAUGCAGAAACAAAGCACCUAGAAGCAUUCAAGGGUUGCUUUACUGUUGUUUUGUAUUUAAAAUUGCUGUUAGAAAUUUUGGGUGCUAUUUCUCUGAAAUUUUGCUAUUAACAGUGCAGCUUAAUAAUUUCAUAUGUCGUUUUGAACCUUCUUCAGUUCUUUUCUCUUAUGUCUAUACUUAAUCUUUUCCCCCCUGGUAAUAAGCAGGUACAAUUUUUGCAAGGUAAUAUCUAAGCAUGCUGUUAAUUCUUUGGUUGAGACGUAGUAUUCUAAACUUCAGGCCUUAAUUUUUUUAUUUCCAAGUGUAUAAUGGGUAGGUACUGGAUCUCUUAUGGAUGAUGUAGUUAAUGCUUUUUUAUUGUCUCUAUUUUGGCAAAUGUGUUGUCAUUUAUUAUCUGAACACAUGGUUGAUUAACUUACUUGAGGUAAGUCUAUUAAUUAAUAGUGAUAUGAUACUUUAAAGUCUUGUUUUACAACUUAAGUCACUAAAAUGAUUUAAUAUUUAUGAUUUAUAAUAUAUGAAUAUAUCUUAAUUUCUCUUUAUUCUUUGUAAGAAUGAUGUAGAUUGCUGAAGCUGGUGAGAUUCAUUUGCAAUUGAAGACUUGAUGAGAAAUUAGAUGUACUCACACAUGCCAAUCUUGUUGGUUGCUAGUGCAUUCACUAGUAGAAGUUUAAUGAUUGUUGGAGAUUUUUGUAGAGCUAUCUCUUUGUAAAUGAAACAUUUGCAUCAUUUUGAAUAUGAAACAUUUGUGAAAAAUAAUUGUAAAGAAUUUAAUAUGAAAUUAGAAUUAAAAUAGGGGCUUGAAAUAGCCUUAAAUUUGCCAAAUUUAUUUUUUUAAUAAUAAAUAACAAAGAUGACGGUUAUUUCAAAAGAACCGUCAUCAAAUGUAGUGUUCUAUAACAAAUAUGACGGUUUUCUUCUAAAACCGUCAUUAAAUGUUGUUUCAAUAUUUAAUGACGGUUCUUACAAUAAACCGUCAUUAAAAUGACACAUUUAAUGACGAUUAUUUAGAUAAACCGUCAUUAAAGAUAGAUAUUUAAUGACGGUUCUUACAAUAAACCGUCAUUAAAAUGACACAUUUAAUGACGGUUAUUUAAAUAACCGUAAUUAAAAAUAUACAUUUAAUGACGGUUAGUGAACCGUCAUAAAAAACAUACCCUCUUUAAUGUCGGUGCCUAAGAUGACGGUUUUAAAACCGUCAUCUUAUGUCGUUUAAAACCGUCAUAAAAGACCAAUUUUGUAGUAGUGAGUCUAUUAGGUUGGCAAAUCUACUGAAACAAUAUUGUUUCCUAUCAACUCCGAAAUACAACCAAUUGAACAACGUUCAGAAAUCGAAAAUCAUUUAUUACCAGUAAGAUUUAUUAUUAUACGCUAUACAUAUGGCUUUAACAGUCACAUUACCAAUACAUUUUUAAUCAUGGUAGGUAGGUGCUGGAAUGUAUACAAUAUUAUCAGCCUGGAAGAAAUGGCAGACAUGGGAGCUCCCUGGCUCGAUCCCAAGCACACGAAACGAUGCAUGAUCUCGACUCCAAUGAGACGUAUCCAUGUGGCAAACUGCUACAGCUUCCACUCUAUCUCCAUUAUCACCACCUAAUGAAACACCGAAUAACUUGUUCUCAGUCAUUUGGCUGUGGCAGUAGAAGAUUGCAUAAGGGUAAGGCAUGAUAUGACAUGCCACCAUCUUGGGAGCAACCAUUGGUUUAGGCACUUGUAAAAUAGUGUAAUUUUGGAAAAUGGUAGCUGAUUUUGUGAGAAAUUUUGUGCUUAGAACUUCGAAUUUGGUCUCCAAUCCGAAAGUUCCGUGUACAAAAUCAAGCAUGGAUUCCAAAGAGGUAGCACAAAUUUUGGUUUCUCCUUCGAUGGGAGGAACUUCGCAAUGAUUCAGGGUCCCUUCCAUGGCUUUGGCUAGGGGUGAGUCAUCUGAGAACGAGAAGAAUUGAAGAAGGUAAGGCAGUUGUUUCAAUGAAAAUGGAAUGGAAUCUGCUUCUUCUCUAGGCAAAGCCUGAGGAUAAGCUGAAGGAUCUCUCUUGCGAAAAAUAAAUCGGCAUCGUUUCGCCAAUCUUUAGAUCCUUCAAGGUGAAGAACACCAUCGUUGAAGGGUCCAUGUGAUUCAUGUGGGAUGGUAUUGAAUGAGAAUCAUGAAGAUUCUCCGAAAGCACCUGAGCACACUGUAAAACAGUUGAGCAAUUCAAUAUGACAACAUAGAUGAAAAAUCAACAACACAAGUUCUAUAAAGUGUAAAACUGAAGGAGCAAAAUAUAUCUUUUUGAGUUAUUGCUUUAAGACAACACUUAUGUACAUCUAUUGCAAAGUAAGCACUUCCUUAGCACACAUUGAGGAUUAUUACCAGAAAGAGUAGAGAAAGAAGGAGGUUCCAAACUGAAAAUCUUAACCCCAUCUCUUUUCUAUUAUCGAAGUUUCUUAUGUAUUUUAGUAAUCUUUUUGUUUUUUUUUUUAAGGGAGAGGAAACACAGAUAACAAGUGAAGCAGAAAGAGAAGAGAUUGUGUAACUGUAUAUGUCAACAACCAAAUGAUGUGUGUUAAUUUUCAAGUGGAAAUUUAUAGCCUGCAUAAGCUGAACUUGUUCUACUGUGCUGAUUAAUUGAAUCACAACACAGUUUGAAUAAUGACCUUAAUAGUCCAAUCCAGCAAAGAAUUCAGCACUCCAAUCAUAUGGGGACACACGUAUUGUACCUUCAUCAUGUCUGCGGAUUUUAAUAGUUUUGACUGAGUGAAGGAUUACUUCAAUUGAUAACAUUGCAUAUUAGAUUACCAGACCUAAAAUUGAUUUCUUAUUAAAAAAUUUACUUGCAAUUUGGAAACUCUCUUUGACACAUUAAUUACAGACUCGAAAUCUGUAUCAAUAUUCCCCAUACAUAGACGGAACUGAGCAGAAAAAGUGGGAAGGCAGAUCGUAAACAAAUUCGACAUGGUAGUUUCCAAGGAUGAAUAGCAUUUUUUUCAUUCGAAAAUGGGAUAAUAUAUCCUUCAGUCACGUAAUGUACACUAUAUAAGGUGGCGUUUGGUUGGGAGGAGAGAACAAAGGAGAGGAAAGUAAUUUAAAUUUUCUUUUUAUUUUCAUUGUUUGGUUUGACAAAAUAUAUAAGAAUUUAAUUUCCAUUAGAAUUUAAUAUCCAUCAUAAUUUGAAUUACACACCAAGUAGUGAAGAAUUUAAAUUCCUUGUAUGUUAGAAACUAAAGUUUCCAAAAUUACUCUUCAACUUGUUUAAUGUCAUUAAUAAUUAUUAUUUAAUAUUAUAAAUGGAUCACCGCCGGAAAGUCGUCGGACUACCGCCGGAAAGUCACUGGAAAGUUACCGGGCCACCCCGGGAUGUUGCCGGAAAGUCACUAGACCACUACCGAACGUUGACGGACGUCGCCGAACGUCGCCGGAAUCCUGCCGAACGUUGCCAUAAGGUAGUUUCCAAGGAUGAAUAGCAUUUUUUUCAUUCGAAAAUGGGAUAAUUUAUCCUUCAGUCACGUAAUGUACACUAAAUCUCUUCUCAACCUAGUGUGCGUCGGAUAUGUGAGUGUCGGGGCUCCAGUCUCCCGUACAAUCUUUAAAAAUUUUUUUGGUCAAAUUAACAGGCUGCACUCACUGUAUUUCCAUGGAUCACACUACUUCAACUAAAAGAUAAGAUAAUAAGUAUAUUUAGGAUUUUACGGAAUGAUUUUUAAGUAGUUUUUAUUAAUUAAUUAUUCAAAUUCGAAUUAAAAAAAGACUAAAAAAUUCAUCAGAAUUUUUCUCACUCCCAAUCUUUCAAAAUAUAACAAAUAAUAAGUCAUAUAAAAAAUGUUUUAAACGCAAUUUUCACUUCAAACAUAUUUCAUUUGAAGUUUAAUUAUAUUCUCCGGUGGAACCUGGAUAAGUUGAAACAAAAUUUUAUUAAUAAAAAAAAAUGUACAUCUAAUUGUCUUACGAUGGGUCAAGAACAAAAGGUUAAAGGAUAAUAUACGUGGACAUGAUAAUGCAGAAACCGAGAAUCAAAAGGGCACGAGUUUCAAAUGCUAGACAAAUGAAAGAGACGUGUGAUUGCAGGUCGAUUUUCUUCUCAUCACUAGCCACUAGCACACAUCCCCUUAAUCAAAAUCUUUUUCAAUAUUGUUUAUUAUAUAAAUGGAUAUUGGUAGUGGUUGAACUUCUAUUAUUUAAUUAUGUUGUCAUUUUCCAUCACUACAACAACAGAUGAUUCAUGUAGGAUCGGUCAAUAAUUGUCGCCCAAUGUUUUUGUCUUUUUCAUAAUUUAGUUAUUUUUGUUCAUAUGUCUGACGAAGAAGUUUUAAUUUUGCAAGAGGAAUUCAAGUUGAUAAGACCUUGUCGACUUGUCUUCUGCUGAAGAAUCUUGAAUAAUCAUGCCAAAUUCAAAAAGUGGCAAAAGCAAAAGGCUAACUUCUUAAUGAAUUCAAUAUUAUUAUGAAUUUGGUGCUAGCUCAAUCUUGAAAAUGAUCCAAAAAUUAAAAAGUAAACAUAUAAUAAUCACAUCUACAAAUGUACAUUAUUAGUGAGUCAUUGAUGAUAUAUCACGAAUUCAUUAGCUGAUUAAUUAAAGAUACCACGAAAAUAUUAUAUCAUUAGCUGGUCUAAAAAAGUAGUCAAUAAGAAAAUGAAAGGUAAAUUCAUAAAUUUCAGCCGGAAAUUUUUUUUUAAAAAAAAAGGGACCAAUAAUUGUAGGAAAUGGCUAGCUUCUUAUCCUCUUCACAAAAGAUUAAAUCCUCUUGAAAAGGUUUGUUACUGAAAUACAUAUUAUAUUACACCAACACUCUCUAUUACCAUAUGAAUUUAGAUCUUCCCCUAACUUAAUAUUUUAUAUAAUGUUGUAGGAAUAAUCUUCAUCACCAGAGAUUAGGAUCUUCUCCUAACUUAAUAUCUCAUAAGUGUUGUAUGAGAUUAUUUAGCACAUGUCAUUAUAUUUUUCUAAAGCUAAGAUUUAAUUUACUUUAUACUUUCCUUAUUAAACAUUAAAACCAAUAAUUUUCUAGGCUAAGUAAAACCCUGAAAUUCAAGUGUGCCGCUUUCUAGCUAACCAAACUGCUGCUUCUUUCUCUACCGGGUUUUUUUUUUUUUUUUUUUUUGCCACAAACUUUAAACUUAGGUAUAUAUAAACUUGAGCAAAGAAGCAUUAUUGGCAAUUAAUUCUUGUAAGAAUUGUUUAUGUAAUGGAAUCAGACUAGAACAGAAUGCAUUAUUGUUCGAUAUACGUAGUCUACAAUAACAAUUGAAGACACCUGAAGAUAAUAUCAAUUAUAGACAAUUUUUAUUGCAAUAUAUUCAAUGCAUUGUUGCUAUCGCGUGUCUGUAAUUAAUUUUACAUAAAUUAAGCUGAUAUAUCUCAUUUCAGUGUACUAAUAAUUAAGUUGAACGUUGAUGCAGCUACUGCUAUUUCCAGGAACACAGCUUUUCUAGGAGCCAGUAGUCGUAAUGUGAGAGGGGAGAUUAAUUAUGGCAGUAGCUAUCUAAAGUAAAAUUUUGGAGAUAUUGAAUUCGUUGAAGCAGAAGCAAUGACAUUUGAGAUCGAAAUAUGCAAACGGCACGGGUCUAUUUCCAUUAAUUAUUGAAUCAGAUAUUCAGAAUGUUGUCAAUCUUGCUGCAUCACUUGAAAGUACUAGAAAAUAGAUUCUUUGAGUGAUCUCUGAUAUUUAAUUGUUGGCUAGACAACUGGCAAUUUCAAAUUUGUAUUCAUUCCUAGAAUAUGUAACGUGGAAGUUCAUAGAUUAGCUAAACUUGCAGUUAGCUAUCAGAAAGCCGUAUUGUUUGGAUUGAGAAUAUUCCUAUAGAUGUAAAAUCUUAUCAUUUUUAAAGAAUUUUUUACUUUGAAAGUAAAAUAAUUAAGGGCCAUCUCUAUCGUUGUUAGGGAUGGCAAAAUCCUCCACGGGUUUGGGGCCCCAUGGAGCCCCACCCCAAAUGGGGAAAAUUUUGAAUAAUUUUUGGGGAAUGGGGUGUGGAGUGGGGAGAAAAUAAUCCCCAAAUUCUUAAUGGGGUGGGUUUUGGUUUUGUACUCCCCACCUCAAUCCCCAUUAUAUAUAAAUAUGUUUUUAAUUCUUAUUUAAUAAUUUUUAUUUUAUCAAUUAUAAUGUCAAUUAAUAAUUUUUUUUUUAAUUUUUAUGCAAUAUAAACAAGAUAUGAAUGAAAGAAAAUCCUAUAAUAUUUUUCAACUCUGAAACAUUGUUAUAUUUUUUUUUCUCUUUUAAGGUGCUACGCUCUUUAAAUAUUUUUCACUUUUAAUAUCAUUUUAAGAUAUUGUUUCAAACUUUUAGAUAUUUUUUUAAAAGAAUUUAAAUACUUUAUAAUAUGAUGAUGAUUUUAUUUUAAAUCUCUAAUUUUUAACUUACUAAAAUAAUAUAUUUAUACAUAUUAUAAAAUAAAUAAAUGGGGAAUGGGGUGGGGAUGGAUAAAUCAUUCCCCACAUGGGGAUUCUCCAUCCCCACUCCACUAAAAUUAUUAGGGAAUGAGGUGGGGAAUGGAGACAAAAAUUUCUAACAGGGUGAGGAAUGUGGUAGGCCUCCCCACCCCCACCCCACCCCAUUGCCAUCCUUAAUCGUUGCGAAUUGCAAUUCUCAUAGACUAUGCGGUCCACAUUAUGAGUUUUAAAUUCUUGCAUGAUUAAUCACCCACAUGAGCAUGCUCCACCAACCUGCCACAUCAUGUUACCACUUCUUCCAAUCUGUGUAUAUAUACACGCACACACACCAGUAUGGCCUCCAUGCAAAUUACAAACGCAGUAUCUAAUAUUGUUUGUCACUGGCCAGAAACAUGAAUAUUAAAGCCUUCUUUGUUCUCUCCACAGUGCUCUCAUUGCUUCUCUUGGUAUGUAUCAUUUGAUCAGUAAUAAUGUUAGGUUAAUCACAAAUUCAUUACAUAAAAUAUUUUGUACAAAAUUGAUAACACAAAUGUACAGUAUCGAUGUGAUGAGAACACCACACAGCCCGAUCAUUAUUUUGUAUUUCUAUUCAACCAAUACUAUUUUAUCACAUCAGCUUUAAGAGUAGCUUAAUUAUAGCUAGCUCUAGCAUUACUCGUUUUGAUUCAAAUGAUUUUCGAAUUUUUAUCAUUCGCAUGGUCAAUAUAUAGUUCCUCUUUCUUUUGUUUUUCCCCCUCUUAAUUGUUUUCCUUGUGUGCAGUUUGCCAACAUGAUAGAUGCGAGAAAAGACCUGAGAGAUUAUUGGAGAACUGUCGUGAAAAAUCAAGACAUGCCUGGGGAAUCAACUCAAGGUCUCAUUCCUGAAGAUCAAGCCUCGACCGUCUCUAAAACCACUGCCUAUUGCCAUACACAUGAAGAUUCUGAGCACACCAUGGAGAAGCCUUUUGUCAAUAAGAACUUUGAGCUGAUGCCUGAUGUUUCAAUCUAUGACAACGGCGUUAAGCUGACGAAACAAAAGGCUUUUGUCAAGGACCUCGAGCUAAUGCCUGAUGUUUCAAUUUAUGACAACGGUAUUAAACCAAAGGAUAAGCAGAGAUCCUUCGCCAAGAACUUCGAGCUCAUGCCUGAUGUUUCAAUUUACGACAACGGUAUUAAGCCAACCAAACAAAAGGCUUUUGCCAAGCACUUCGAGUUCUUGCCUGAUGUUUCAAUUUACGACAACGGUAUUAAGCCAACCAAACAAAAGUUCUUCGCCAAGGACUUCGAGCUCAUGCCUGAUGUUUCUAUUUAUGACAAUGGUGUAAAGCUAGCCAAACAAAGGUUCUCCGCCAAGGACUUCGAACUCAUACCUGAUAUUUCAAUUUAUAACAAUGGUGUAGAGCUAGCCAAACAGAAGGCAUUCGCCAAAGGCUUCGAGCUCAUGCCUGAUGUUUCAAUUUAUGACAAUGAUAUUAAACCAUCGAAGAAGAGUUCAUAUGCCAAGGACUUUGAGCUGAAGGCUGAUAUUUCAAUUCAUGAACCGACCGAACAAAAAUAGGUUAUUAGCAGUACGGAUCCGCAGCCAGAUGCUACAAUUUAUCAUAAAUAAAUAGAUGAUCAUGCUUGCAAUCAGGCGCAGGAUGGAGUCUCUUACCAUAUUUAAUGUUCUAGAAGAGUAGCCACAUAUAUGUGACACUGCUUUCCUUGUUUGUGUGUGUUGUCAAAAGCGCUGUUUGUAAAGUAAUGUAAUAAGUGCUGAAGUAACCCAUGCAAUAAAAUCAUGUCAUGCGUC